AUAAUCUGUCACUACUUGGGUUUGGGAUUGCGAAAAAAUAACGUUAAGCGGUAAAAAAGUACGAUUGAAAAAUACUGUAUUUCGUAUAUCGUAAUGAAUCGGUUACGAUAUAUUUUUUACGGUCCCACCGGAAAAAACAGAGACAUAGCCUUGUAUAUUUUUAUCUCAACUCUAUUUUAUCUAAUAACGUCAGAUAAGUCUCAAUACCACACUAAUUUUAAAGCACAAUGAAUAAUAAAUGAGUUUUUUUACACGAACGAGGGGCCCACAAGUCCUUUUCAAUUAACAAACUUUUAAUUAACUCCUUAAAAAAAAGAAAAUGAAAAAGAGUGGUCCCACCCCCCUUUUUUUUUUUUUUUUCUUUUCUUUUUUGGAAGCUCAUAGAAAUAUUAGGAAACAGAAUCUUUGUAGCUAUUGGAAGUAGUUAAGGGUCGAUUUCAUGAACAGGAACAGCACUGUGCGUCAGAUGAGAAUCCAACGGUGGGGACAUCUCUUUGGGUAAUUAGUUAAUCCCACUAAAUUUAAUUUUCAAGCCAUACGAGAUUAUGCACUUUUAAUAAGAUUUUGAUUUAGUGUCUAAAUUUUUAAAAGCGUUUUAUUUUAGUUUUUGCCUUUAAGUUAAAUUCACAAUUUUUUUAAAAAUUUUCUCAUAUUUGAAGUCUAAAAUUUUAAUUUAGAAGCUACUAAUAUCGAAGUUAAAAGAAACUUGGUUGAAAGUUCAGGGGACUAAUGGUGUGAUUUAUUCUUAUUAUAUUUAUGCGAAGAAUCUGAUACAGAAUAGACCUUCCCACUUCAUAUAUUAUAAAUUAGUAAGCAAUCAAAUUUCGUAUGAAACUUUUUGGAUGCAUCAUGAGCAACUUUUUGGAGCGUGGGGUGGCUUCAGUUUCUCGUGAAAGUGUACCACUGUGUAUGGAUUGGUUCUGAGUCCCCACCACAUUGCAUUGUUUGCCAUCUGGUAGAUCAUUGUCACUUAUCUUAAGGUCGGGAUUCGAGCCUCUGUGUAUAAAACAGGGAUAACUUAUCUUAAGGUUGGGAUUUGAGCCUCUGUGCAUAAAUUAGGGGCCUGUUUGAUUUUAUGGAUCUUGGAGGUUGAACUCGUCACUUGGAUAAAUUCAUAGACGUUGGUGUUUAUUUUGACAUUUUUGUUAUUUGUUUCGUUUAUCUCUUUUAUAAAUAAAUUUAGCCGGAAAUAAAAAGCAACUAGGUUUCGAAUUUAGGAGCUCGGGUACCAACUGCCAAGUCUUUUACCACUUGCGCUAACGGCGGUUAGUGUUUGUUUCGACAUUGAAGUUGUAAAAUCAUCUGAACUCUCAAUCACAAUUGUACGGAUGGAUAUCGGUCCUUUCUCUUCAACAUUUAUUAUGGGCUGCAUCAGUGGGCCCAAAUUAAAGUUGCCUUGCUUUGGUGAUUAUUGGGCCAGGCCUACUGGAGCUUUUGCCGUAAAAUGGUUUUUUUUUUUUUUUUCUUUCAUCUAUCCACAAACCAUUUAUUGAAUUUUCAAUCGAGGACAAUUUAUAACAUGAAAAGGACUAGUAACAAAUAUUUAUGCGAGGUAAUAAUACCUUUGAGAUGGAGCCCAUUUGGUUCACCGUUUGAUUGCUACAUAUAUAUAUAAAAUCCAUGUUAAUAUUUAGCAUAUUGUUUGAUACUAUAAAUUGAACUAUAGUAAAGCAGUGAAAACUCUGCAGCAAGUUAUGUAGAUACUGCAAUAACACACUUUAGGACGCAUUUGGAUUGAUGUAAUUGCAAUUCCGUCGUAUUUGAAGCUUUGUAAGAGUAGUAAAAGCUUUUGCUGUUGGCGGAGUUCAUGUUUCUACUCUUACUAAAUCUUAUUUAUGGCCGACCGCAAUUAUGUCGAUCCAAACACCCCCUUAGACACUGCGAGCACGCCGUCACGGCGAGGCGUUCUUCGACGUGAAAGCCGGUGGGAUGCCGGGAAACAGAGGGCUCGGCGGGAACGGGAACGGGAAUGGAGGGAGCUGAAAAGCUGGCGGCGGCGGCGGCGGAGUCAGGAACGGCAACGGUGGCAAGUUCACGAACGGCGGGGGCGACGGCUGGAAAGGAAGCGGCGGCAGAACCGACGGUGGAGGCUGCAACGGGUUCGGGGGCAGGAACGACGGCGGCGAUGGCAGGAAGGGGAAGUUCGGCGUCGGGAAGAAGAAUGCCGGCUGCUCGGCAUUCUGUUCGGACUCCGGAGAGGAUCUGUCACGUCGUCGGUCACAGAAUUCCGGCCGUUGCAAUGGCUUGAAGGCGAAGAUCCCGGCCGAGAGCACGCGGACGUCAGCCGCCUGCCACCGCGAUUUGAACCGGUGGAGGAGCAAUGCAGCAGUUGAUGGUGCCGCGCAGAAAGGGUCGCUGCUCCGGAUCAGGUUCACCGAGCAGGGCCGGACCGACUUGACGUGCUUGGUUACUUCAGCUGGGAGGCGGAUUCUGAACACGCCGCGCCGGUCGGUCAAGACUUCUUUUCUGAAGCUCGGCCUUGCGGACUCGUCCCGGCGGCAUUCGAUUGCAACCGUAGCACCUGCAGCAGUUGAAAUUACGUACCAAUUCGUAUCUUAUUUCGUGAGACAGAGUGGCGCGACGAAAAUAGAAGAUCUACGUAAAAAUCGCGAAAAAGUUCGGCGAUCAAUAUUUGCGCAACCUGAGAUGAAUCUGCUGGACUCGGAGAGCUUUCGGAGGAAGCAGGUGUCGCAGAAAACGGCCCCAACCACCACUGCAGGUGCGAAGUGCUUCUUCCUUACGCGGUGAUGAGCAGCAGAGGAACAAAAGAAGAUGCAGCAGUACAGCAGGAUAACUGCUAAGCAGUGUGCAGUUACUUUAGUACCCAUCAUUGAAACACACUGGACCAUGCAACGUGCACAUAGACACAAUACAUGCUUCAGUAUUUAUAAUGAGUGUGUAGCAAAUUAAAUAAAAAGAUGAAAUGCAUGAGAAUAUGGAUUUAGUUACAGUUAUUUGAUUCUGAGUACUUUUAGUUGCAGCACAUGAACAUUUAAAGCUCCAUUUAUGUCAAUCAUACGGAGAGAAAUACAACACCCAACUGCGCGCGAAGAAGAGGAGUGAAUGAUCUAGCUAGUAGGCACUAGAUUCAAAUUAUUAAGAUUAUUUUUCGAUCAUUUCGAAUGAUCUUUUAGAUAAUAUGGUUACAGAGUCAGUCCUAAGAUUUUUUUUUUUUUUCCGCAAGGAAUAUUUUCAAACCAUUUUUUGUUAGAACGAUCUUCUGGAUUAACACAAAUUACGUUUUUAGCGUGCAAAGAAACAGAAUUUAUACAAGUAAAUUUAUAAAAGAAAAUUAAAAAUCUUCACCCAAAAGGAGGAGGAGAGAAUGGUGAGAAGUGCUUGGCCUCUAUGUGCUCCUGGCCUUCGUGUUGUGUGUGGGCAAUUGAGGAUGAGGAUAGGGAUAAGGUUCUCAUGGGUGCUUAUCUAGUUUAUAUAUUUUGUUGGAUUUGUAUGUGUUUUUUUGCUUGGACUAUUCAUUUUAUUGUAUUUGUCAAAUUUUGAUUUGUUUAUGAUUAUAUGGGGCCAUUAAUCAUAACUUCUAUUUUUUGAAAUUUAAAAUUAUUUACUAAAAUAACUUUACUACUUCUUUUGCAUCGAAUUAGAAGGAAAAAAAAAGAAAGAAAAACUUAUUCAAUUAUUUGAAAACUCUAGUAUCUGGGCUUGUGAUAGUGCUGUGUGAAAGAGUGAUGAAUAUAAACAGUAAGCCCCACAAUUCUCUGACAACUUUAGCUUUUCAAAAUAGGUAUGGCUUUAUGAUUAAGGAGAUGAAUUUAGGCUUAUGAUAAUUCAUUGCACAUGAUCUUCUAUUCAUUCUUUGGACAAAUUUGACUAUGACAGAGCUCAUUUUGUUGGUAUAAAACAAGAUAAAGAGUCAGUGUUGAUGUGAUCUUCAAUGGAUUUUCCUAAGUUUGGGUUCACGGGUUAGGGAGUCAAAAAGAGUCACACCAACUUCACAAGUUUGUGGUGAUGUUUGUUGAUAAGAUUAUCUACUACUUGAAGCCAUUUAUGGUGAGAAAUAGCCUCUUUUUUCUAUUUACUUUGGUAAUUGCAAGCAUUCCAAUCAUUUGUUGGAUAAAAUUGAAGGUUCAGUCGAUGAGAAUCCGACUCACGAGAAUGACGCACUAAUAAAAUAAAACUUGACUGUUCAGUAUUAGUCGUUCAUCACUUUUUUUCAUUUGCAUUAUGAUUCAGAAUCUGUUCAAUAUAUGUGACAGCAUCUGCAAUUCACUUCAUUUAAGAAGUGAUGAACUACUGAUAUUGAAGCAGUGCAACAAUACAAUCAUUGCUCGAGUCUAAUUAAUUGAAUAAUAUGCAUUAACCAAUCUGAUCAUGUAAACACAAUAAGGUUUAUCAAGUGUGAAAAAAUAUAUCAUUGCAGACAAUUUUGACUGCACUCAAUGCUACAGUCUUUCUUCACUUCAUGCCGAAAUAUAGAUCAGAAAAAAUGACACAAUAACUUCAGUGAAUCAACUUCGAAUAUCAGAUUCCUCUUGAUCAGCUUCUGAGAAGCUGAAGAAAAAUGUUAUUAACCUGUCUGAUUAUCUGUUUUACAAUCUCUGUACACAUUGUUUGACCAAAAUCCAAAAUUUGAGGUCCAAAUGUGUGUAAAUAAGGCAAAAAUUAUACUGUUUCUUCGAAAAUUGAAACAUACCAAUACAUGCUGAUGAUAUUUUCAUGCUUUCUCCGGUAUGAAAUCACUUCUCUUUCACAGAUUAGCGAAAUGGUAAUCUUUUAAUUAUCGAUACAACCUCUAACCAAUGGAUGUGUGAAAUCGACGUACUGGUCCCAUAAAUGCUUGUACCUGGUAAUGGCUAACUUCAGCCAGGGCUUCAUGUUUCCACUGUAAUGCACCACUGCUGCAGUUUCAAUUAACCUCUCAUCAAUGUCCACAUCAAACCCAAGGCCCAAUACAUGCCAUCGUCGAUCAAGUGGCUCCAUUACCCCGUAAAAUGCAAGAAGACCCGGUGGAAGUGCUCCUUUCUUCCAAAUCAUGUGGUCCACAUUUUGGUCCUCCCAGUAUUGGUACUUUGCCGUCACGUUUGCCUUUCUCCAGGCAAUUAGAUCAAGUAUGUUCAUCCCGAACGCCCACCCGCAAGAUUGCGGGUCGAAUUUAGAGCUAAUUAGUGGGUUAGAGAAAUUGAGAUAUUUGUAGAACCUGCGAAAUGAUUCGAGGCAAGUCUCGACCGCUCCGAUCACGUUGCCAUGUAAUUCUAUGGAGAAAAGAGGGGUCAGAUCCUUCUGCACCACAACAUCAUCAUCGAGAAGAACCACCUUUUCUAAACUUGGGUGUAUUUGGGGAAUAUAGAACAGCAAGUAGUUCAGCGAAGAAACAAACUUUGCAUUAAACCAAGAGAACUCUUCUAUACUUCGGACUUCAACGGUGCACCCUUUGUAGUCGUUUAAUAGAAACCAAGAGGUCAUUGCCCAGUAAUUGAUCUUGUUCGUGACCACAUGAAAAACGAGCUGCUGAGGGUGGUCGGCACUGGAGACCGUAGAGUUUACGACGACUGAAGUUGCAAUUAUGUUAUCAGAAAAUAUACAGAAGUGGUACAAAUUAUUGUCCACAAGCCUAGGUGACUUCCUAUACUCAUUUUUGUGUCUUCUAAUUGUUGGGUUUUGGAACCAUUCUUCCGUGAGUUUCAUAUUCAAACAGUGAAGGCUUUUGGGCAAAGAAGCUUCUUCAGAAGCCAAUCGACCAAACUCCGUGCUUUGAACCACCGCGGCCUUUGCACGCUCCUCGAGGGCGAGGGCGUGGUUCUUUAAUGUUGUUAUCGUAGUGCUGAUAUCAUAAUGGCAGUCCUGGGCUUUGUAUAUAAGCCGUGAGAGCCGAGUUACUAAAGGACGAGCUUCUUCUAGCAUGAUGAGCUUCCCUGAAACAGCUGCUUGAGAAAGCAGUUUCUGGUGGUUUCUAACCUGCGAACUGAGCUCCCAUGCAAGCUGAAGAUUGUUGUGCUCCUUCGCGAUGAUUAUGUAAGCCUUAGCUAGCGUCACCUGAUCGACCAACUGCCUGGCAAAGGAUGUGCUGCUCAAUAGCUCAUGCGUAAAAUUAAAGCUCUCAUUAGGGGGUUCUUCAAUCGCUAGGCUCUUAUCCUACAAAUUUUAGAAACGUGCGCAUCUUAGAUGACUUGAAAAGGAAUCACAUAUGAAAAAAUCAUGGAAUUCAUAGAAUGAUCAAUGAACUUAUGCUUCAAUAUGUUGAAAACGAAAAGAGAAAGUUCCAUUAAAAAGUAGCUAGACCUUCGCUCCAACUUUAACCUGGUAGUUUGGAAUAACUAAUAAAAGAGAAAAACAGUUGUAGUAACAUACAAGUUUCUGACCAAUGAAAGAUGGAGAAUAAAUGACAUAAACUUUCAAAAAAUCAUUUCAGUUCAUCCCUGUGAUUAGUUUCAGAAUUUUGGUAAAAACAAAAACUUCAUAUGCUAAAAUUCCACUUCUAAAGAGUCCUCUUUUUUCUUGUUCCUAAACAGAUUCAUCAUUAGAGGCGAAUAUGGGUCUUAUCCUACUUCCUAUAUGUCGGUCGGUAACAAGUGGUUGGAUAUUGGCAUAGCACUUCAUCAGGCUCUAUUACACAGACAGUGUAAAAAGGAUUAGAUUCCAUUUUCUUUUAGUAAGGACUAAGGAGAUAAAGACACUUUUUUCCAACCAUAUAAAGUCUAAAUAUAUAACUGUUCCUCAUUAGACAAACUCUUGAAACAAACUAGCUGUAGAAAGACCAAAGAACCUGAUAGGUCAUUGAAAGUCACAUGAUUCCACACAUUGCAGGGCUCCACUGGUUUACUUGUAGCAUAUCAUGCUUUUCUUUUGAUGGAAAGUGCCUUUUCCCCAGCAUUUACCAAUGAAAGUGAAUUAAAAGAAUCUUUCCAACAACAUCUUUAAAAUCAAAGUAAAUUAGGAAGCAGUCACAUGCCAACUCCUGGAAAUUUCUACCAACUUGACUUGACUUCGUAACAGUAAUAUGGACCCAUUACCAACUCCUACCACAAUACAAGAAUUAUUUGGUUGCAUAUAGUUACAACUGUACUGUAAUACGAUGUUCCGUUUAGCGCAUUUGAAUUCAACUACUGAAUCGGUCAGAAUUACACCCAAAUUGAUCGUAGUUUUAACUUAAGUUGGAAAAUAUUUUUGACCUAAAUGGGUGUAAAUCUCGCCAUUAUAUAUACAAAGUAAUAAAAUUGUAUAAAUAGACUGUUUUAUAUUAUAUUCAACCAAACAAGAUGCACACAAUACCGAUGUUAAACCUCUUCAGUUCCAAGAGGUCUAUCAGUACAGGUGACAUGAUUCACUAAUCACAAGCACACAAAUCAAAACUAACUGAGAGAAAACAGUAAACCAACUUGGUAUUUUCAUCAAAUCAAGAACAAAUUUAACCAACUGUUGGAUCCAGAUAUUACCUUUUUGGGUUCCUCGAUCCGUUCCUGAUGAUGAUAAUGGUGCAGAGCAAAGAGAACUGCUCCCGCGAAGGCGAAGAUCCCGAGGAGCCAGGACACCAAGAGAGAGCGCCUCCUCCUCUGCGGUCGCCGGAGCUCCGCCGCCCUCCGCCGCAUGCCGCCGCCGGAGCUCCGCCUCCUCGGAUUGUGUGCACUAAAUCCGCUAUGUAGGAUCCCCAAGGCGCUACCUUUCUCACAAAUUCGGAAAGAGGCGGCCUCAAAACCCAAAACCCGUGUCGCAAUUUAGUCGAAAAAGGUGGGGGGGGUUUAAGUAAAAUUUGGAUCGGAUUGGAGGUGAAAAUGAAGGGCUUUGACUUUUCGAAAUUGGGGUAUCAAAUGGUGUGCUAUGAAUGAUUGAUAGCAUACAUGAAUGGUUUUGUAUUGUGAUUUAACUAAUAAUAAUAAUAAGUUGGCGUAAUCAAGUUUACAUUUUGGAGAUGGUUUUGUAGAAAUGUGGAAAAAGUUUUGGAUUGUUGACAAGUAAUUAAGAAAAAGGACACUGCUUUUGGUUGUUUGCUGCUAAAUUUGCAGCUUUUUCUUCCUCUUUUUGCAUUUUUUUGGAUAGAAAGUCCGCAACAUCUAUCAGACAAAUUUGGGCCUGACUAGCAAAGAUCUUUGUCUCACCAUCCAUAUUUUUUCUGAUAUUUUUAAUAUUUAUUUUUAACAUUUUUUUCACAUCUAAACUAAAUUUUUUUUAUAAGACUAAAACAUGAAUUUGAAUAAUAAGAGAAAAAUAAUGUUAGAAAUCUAACCGAACUCGAACUCAAAAUCCGAUACGUUGAUCUCAUGUUAAAUAAUACGAAGUAAUCAUUUAUCCCUAAAAUAUUAAAAAUAUUAUAAAAUAUUAUUAUUUGAUAAUUUAAGUUUUUGAAGAACAAUAAUUGUUUCAUAUUAUUUAACAUAACAUUAAGAAACAGUAUUUUUAAUAUUUAUAUUCAAUAUUUUGGUAUUUAUUUGGGCAAAAAAGAAUGAUAUAAACAAAUCAUGUUUUAUAGACACAAAUCAAAUUUAUUAAAUAUAAUUUAAUUCAAUAUAGAAAUAAUAAAUAAAUCCAAUAAAAAUUUAUUAGAAAUAUACUAUUUUGUUAGUUUAGUUUAAAAUCUAAUUUUUAACACUAUCUUGAAUUAAUACUGAGAUUUGUCCCUAUAUUUCUCCUUAGAAUAAGGAAUAUUAGUGCUUGUUUGACUCCACUGUUUCAUUUUUUGAGAGAAAAUCCGUACGUUGUUUUAUUAGCAAAUUACAAGUACAUCAAAUAUGACAAAAGAGUUAGACAAUAGACGAAUAUAAUCGUAAAGUUGCAUUGGCAACAUUACGAGUGCAUCUGUAUUUUGAUCUCUUCUAACAUAGGAAAUAGUAAUAUUUAGAUACAAUCGCAAUAAAUUUCUACACUCAUUAAUGAGAUAAGCGAGAGUCUAAUUUGACAGUGUAUUAGUAGAAAGAAUAGAAAAAACCUCAUUCCAAGCAUUACUAUAAAUUAUAAUACUAAAGGCUGGUCAUGAGCUAACAAUUUGAAGAGCUAAUAAGUUAGCAUAUAUAUAAUAUUUUAAAAGCUGCCGAAAGGAAUAUUAUAUGCUAUCUUGUUUGACUCCACUGUUAGAUGCAACGGCAUUGGAGAAUUAUUGUAAUGUAUCAAGGAAAGAAAAUAGUUAUUGAAUAUUAUUGUAUAUUUGUAACAGAAUAACUGUAAAUAAUUAAAAACUUUUUGGCAAGUUUACUAUCACAGCUCCACUAUUGCUAUGUAAUAUUGAAAUGACUAAACUAAUCAUCUCAAAUGCAAGUGGAAAAAGGCUUUUUUUUUUUUUUAGAGAAAGGUAGCGCGCUACCCGCUUCAUUUAGAAAGUAAGUGAAUUAAGCUACAUGGGUGAGGCAACAAGGCCUCGACGAGGGACGGACGAAAAAAAAAAAAAAAAAAAAGAAGUUCGAUCUUCGUUGGACUAAGUUUCCUCCACAGGUCCGUCAACUGUUUAAUCUUAUAAAUACCGGCUAUUGGGUUGUUCUGGGUCGCCGUAAAAAUCGCUCUGUUCCUGGAAUCCCAAGAGACCCACCAGCAGGCUAUCAGACCUAUGAGACUGGUUGAGGUAGAUUGUGAUCUCAAGUGGAAAAAGACUUGAUAGCUAGUACCUGAGGUUUCAAUUUCAAUGUAUGCCUAGUUGUUUUAUAUUUUCAACUAGAUUAAGAUCUUGUCAUCUGUAAAUUAUUUUGAAAUAAGACUCAGAAGUUAAUCCUUUUCUUUUAUUAUGAGUAAGUUGAGUUAAUGAUUUUGCUAACUAGAGAGUGAGUCAAUCAAGUUCUUGUCAAUUUCUAAUAAAAUACAAAAAAUUAGAAAUUCAUGACACUCUACUUUUUGAGAUUUUCUUCUAUUUUUCUCUUGGAAUUAAAGAAGGAAAACAUUUUUUUAUUUUUUUGUUUUUUUGGAGGAUAAAAGAAGGGAUAGCAUUUGCUGGUGAUGGAGAAAUGAUUAAAGUUUAAGGUACUUCGCUUUGUAGAUUCCAACUAGAAGAGUAUGAAAGGAACAAAGUGAAGCUUUUGAUUUGUAGUAACUUUAGUUCCUUUGGCCAUUGAAACAGCUAGAUCACUGUCAAAUAAUUCACACUUUGUGUUCCAUCACAAAAGGCACAUAUGCUUGCUGAAAAUAAUUCAUGCAAUUUUAGAUUUUUUUUUUAAUUGAGAAAUUUCUUUUAAAAAAGCUUUCUCAAAUUGCAUGAAGAAUUAUUUUCAUCAAGAAAUAGUGUCUUUGUAAUGUAGUUCUUUUUUUCUUUUUUUUUUUUGGUUUUAAAGCCUAGGGCCUAUCUUAAAUUCAGACCAACAAAUUAACUGUUAUCGAACAUCUUACUCCGAAUAAAAUCUUUUAUCGAACACUUCAUGUUUAGUUCAUGGGGUAUUAAUAUAGAAUUACAAAACUACAAAUGAUUUAAUCAAUAAAACUUGUAAAUACAAUCUUCAUCUCAGCCAAAUUUUUCAUAGUUAAAAAAAAAAAAAAAAGCUCAAGGGAGAACUCAGAAAUUACCCUUCUCACACAUUUCGGUUUAGUUUGAUUUUCUUUUACUUUUUUCUCAUGGUUUUGUUAUAUUUGCAUACCAACUAUAGAAGAACUUCACCUCCUGUUUUGAAGUACUUAAAAUAACUGUUCUUUUCAAAGCACGAAGCAUAUGAAAUAAUCGUUAUUUUUUAAAAACUUUAGUUGUCAAAAAAUAUUGUUAUUAUAUUUUAUGCUCAACAGUUAUGGUCUCCAAGUUUCUGCUUGAAAUAUUUUAAUAAGCAGUAGAUGUGGCCCAGAAUUAAAUGAGAGGAAAUUAUAUGAGACGACGUGGCAAGAUUUGAACUUGGAAUUUAUUAUUCUGAUGUCAUAUUAAAUGAUGUAAAUAUAAUAGAUUUUGAUGUCAAUUGCAGAUUUGUAUGGAGAUCAUUGCAUUACGUACAGUGAAUAUGUACAAUAAAAAGAAUAUUAUGCUAAUUAAUUUCUAUAUGUACCAUUAUGCUAUGCAUGUCGCAAUUGAUUAAUUAUAAUAUUUUUUCAUAAUCACACUAAAACAUAAAUAUAUAUAUAUUUUUAAAUAUUUUCAUUCUAACUUUAAUUUGUGUAAUAGCAUUACUUAACUGUCAAUGUUCAUGUUCAACAUCAUGGCGCCGUUACCGACCGUCCCUAGAGCAAGUGGCAAAGAGCUUGGUGGUUGGUACUCAAGACCUAAGUUCGAAUUCUAGUUAAUUCACAUUUUCAUCUAAGUUUAUUUCUAAAUAAAAUAAACGAAGCGGGUAGCGUGCUAUCUAUCUCUCAAAAAAAACAUCAUGACCCCGUUCUAUUGACUUUUGAUUCGUACUAAAAAAACAUCAUGGCUCCGUUCUAUUGACUUUUGAUUCGUACUAAAAAAACAUCAUGGCCCCGUUCUAUUGACUUUUGAUUCGUACUAUGUAGCUACCGAAGAUAUUGAAUGGGUCCAUGUAAUAGUUGAGAUCUCCACUGGGGAUUCUUUGCUUACACAAUAAGCACUCUCACUGCUUUAUCUUUUUCAAUUUUCUUUUUUUUUUUCCAUCUAUAUAACUAGUAAUUUUACAUCUAUUAAGGGCUUGUUUGUUUGCACGAAAGUAGGCUGAAAGUGGGAAGGAAAAAGUAAUUUUCGGUGAAAACUGUCUACUUUCGUUAUUUGGUUCACUAUAAUUUUAUUACGCCCGAAAGUCCAGUUCAUUCAAAAUAAUGAAAUUGACUUCGCCCUCCCACGGGGUAAAGUCAAUUCCGGUGAAGUGAAAAAAAGGCAAGAGUGGGAUUAAUGUGUUAGGGUAUCUCCUCUCUACCCUUUCAUCCAAAUAUAUUCAAUUGUGGAAGUAAUUAAAUUUUUUAUUUUGAUUGUAUGUCUAAAAUAUGAUCAAAUUUGGUUAGAUAAGUUUUAAUAUAUUUUUUGUUUAAUAUGUAUAUUUAAAAAAUGAUGAAAAAUGAAUUUGUUAAAUGUUAAUAAAUUUUUAACUUUAGAAUUUUAUUUGCUGCAUUAUAAUAAUUUAUAUGCAAACAAACAAUAUAAUUUUUUAAAAUUUUAUUUUAUAAUUAUACAUAUAUAUAAUUAUAUACAUAUAUAAUUAUAUUAAUUUUUAUUUAUUAUAAUUUAUUAUUCACUAUAAGUUACAAAAUAGACAAUAAUAUAACUUCGGAGGUAAGUAUACCGAGGGUGAAAAGUUACACUUUUUACGUCAUCUACUUCCUACCAAAUAAACAACAGAACUCGCAAAACUGUACUUCCACAGUUAAAAACAAACAGCAGAAGUGAACUAAUUUUCACCCCAACACCACUUCAACCCAAAGUCCACUUCCACCCUAAGUCUACUUAUAUUGAAACAAACAUACCCUAAUUGUACGUGAUGCGUACUAACUCUUUAAAAAGAUAGAACAGGUAAAAUGACUAUUUAAUAUGAAAUAUACUUACCAACCGUUCUUAGUGCAAGUGACAACAGUCUCAAGUUCUAAUCUUAAUUGAUUCAUAUUUUCAGCUAAAUUUAUUUUUUAAAAAAACAAACAAAGUGAGUAGCAUGCUAUUUAUUUUUAAAAAUAUUUAAAAUAUAUAAUUUAGCUGAAAAUAUGAAUCAAAUAUCAGCAUAUGAAUUGAUCAUAUGCAUAUUUAGAAUAUUACAAAUGUUUAAAGUUCAAAAAAAAAAAAAAACACGGGUUAACAUAUUUUGAAAAUUAGCAAAUGUUCUAACUUUAGGGGGAAAAACACAGGUUAAUAUGUUUUAAAAACCAAAUUAUGAUCUCUGAAAAAAUUUUCCAUAUCACAUGAAAAUUAUACGCCUCUUGUUUUGUUCUGUUAAACUUAAGCCACAAGAGGCCCGAGCCGUGUCAGACGCGCGUCCAUCGCGCAUCCUGACAUGAAAAUAAAAAUAAGGAAAAACUUCAAAUACCACCCUUGUGGUUUCAUACUUUUUCACUUUAGUAUCUUAUAGUUUAAAAUAUCUCAAUUUAGUAUUCUGUGGUUCAAAUACCAUCCCGUUAAUAUUUCAGUAAAUUAUAUACAAAAAACUUCAUAUAACCCACCUAGAUAUAUUAAAUAUUCGCUUUAGUCCCCUUUAGUUUUACGUUUAUCACUGAUUUAACAUAAAAAUUAUUGGAGUCAAUAAUAAAAAAAUAAAAAUAAAACCACAGGACACUAACUUAAUACACUUUAAAUCAUAGAAUACUAAAGUGAGAAAGUACGAAACCACAGAGGAGGUGACAUUUGAAGUUUACCCGGAAAAUAAAAAGGGGUGUGGAGAGGACUUGUGUGAGUCUUCAAGAGGACUUGCGUGUGCCUUGUUGGAUACGGAUGCAAAUUGAUUUGAAUUGGUAGAGCUUUCAUUCUAAUUAGUUUAGAAUUGGACAAUAAAUGAAACUAAUAAAUGAAUAUGAGGAGUAAAUGGAAGUAUUUUUUUUUUCAUCUGAAAGAUAUCCAGGGCGAGAGAUAUAUAUUAAAAGAAUUGAUUCGUCCUGAAUCAGCUCCGAAUAGAAUUUAAAUUAUAGAAUAAUUUUUUAUUUUUUAAAUAUUAUUGAGUCUUAAAUCAGCAAAUGUGAUUUAAAAGAUAUUUUCUUUGAUGAUAUUUUUAUUAUUUUAAAAUUUUAUUCUAAUUAAAAUAAUAAAAACAUAUUGUGUUUAAUUUAAAUUUAAAUAAAAAAUAAAUAAAAUUUGGUUGGUGGUGUGAAUUUUGAGCAAUGGUAGAAGGCAGUUUUUUUUUUUUUUGAGAGAUAGGUAGCAUGCUACUACCGGUUUCGUUUAUUUCUUUUAGAAAUAAACUUAGCUGGAAAUGUGAAUCAAUUAGGAUUCGAAUUUGAGAUCUCGGGUACCAUCGACCAAGGCGUUUGUCACUUGCGCCAGGAACAGUCGGUGUAGAAGACGGAUUUUUAAGCGGGGCAGGUUACGGGAGACAUAUAUUUCGUUUCAUCACAAAGGAGGGGCGGGAAGCGAGACAGGCUUAAUAUAUGCUGGGUGGGUACGUAGGAGGCGAGGCAGGAUUCUCUCCGCCGAAUCCACCCCGUUUGCAUCCCUACUCAGCACACAGGGAGGGAGUGGUGCUUUCAACAAUGGAAAAAUAUUAUUGCCUACACUUGAUGCAUUUUUAUAUAAUUAUACAAACUACAGUCUACAACUAAUAUUUGAUACUUAAUAUUUAAAAUUAAAAUCUAAUUUGGUAUGAUUUAUAAUAUUUAAUAGCCAUAUGUAUGAACAUUAUAAGUUUUAAAAAAUAUAUUGUCUAGACAUUAAGUAGUUUUAAAAAUCAACUAUAUUAAGAAAAUUCGUUGUUUGAUUUAUAAAAUUUAUUAUUCAAAAUUUAAAAUUUUGAUAUAUAAUUUUUUAAUGUUAUAAAAUACAUAUAAUAAAUUAGAUUCUACAAAAAGGAUUUUAUGUGCGGUAAAUAAGAUGUACUUACUUAUACACUUGGUUACCGUUUGGUUUGGGUAUAAGCAAGAACUAGCUAUUACAGGAAUAGGUACAAGUAUGGAGAUAAGAAAAAUAGCGUUGGGAUGAAAAUUGAGUUGUUUCCGGGGAUAAGAAAAAUAUUAGGUAGUUUUAUAUAGAAAAUAAAGGUGUUGGUGGGGAUAAUCGAGAACUACUAUUCUCGAAUAAAAUCUAGGUUGAAAUUUAAAAUUUUAUGUUGGAAUUUAUAAUUUAGAGCUUAAUACAUCUUUGAGAUAUGGGAGCUGAAAAUUCUUUUGUUAGAGUGAAUUAUAAUUUACUUUAUUUUUUGGAGUAUAGUUUAACUAUACUUUAAAAAUUACGUCAUUUUUUUUUUCCAAACGCUUCACAGAAUAAUUUUUCUACCAGUCUAAUAUAGUUUAACUAUGUUACGUUUUCAGGAGUAUCCAAACGGGGUCUAAGAGAAAAUGUCCAGAUGGGGAGUUGAUUGCUCAGGAUUCAGAAGUUUCUACCACAUUCUCUACAGGCAGCGUCCUAAGAUUAGUCCAAAAACAUAAGCUAGCUAACUAUUAGUUAGAAAUUAAUUCAUUUUUUGAAAAUAGAUCGACUCAAUUAGUUAACAUAUAUAUAAAACAUACAGAACUUUUCUGCAUAUACACAUGCUGCUGUAGAAAAUACUUAACUCAUUAUGAGUCGAUAGAGUACUUGGAGAGGAUUUUUUGGAUCACAACCCAAAGCAUCUGCUGGAAUAAUUAAUGAAACAAAUAUAUAUAUAUAUAUAUAUAUAUAGAGAGAGAGAGAGAGAGAGAGAGAGAGAGAGAGAGAGAGAGAGAGAGAGAUAGAGCCCGGCUAUGGUGCUUGUAAAAGUGCCAAACACUUGGUGCUUUUAAAUUUUUUACCGUUAGAUCUCUACCUUUGAUCCAUUUUACCCGUUAGAUUAUACUAUUCAACCAACCACCCACUCAACUCUAGGGAGGCCACAUCAUCCUAACCACACAUCCUUUAAUCCAAAGGCUGAAAACUUAUAAGCACCAAUGACUUGUUACUUUUAAAAGCAUAGGAGCUCAAUUAUAUAUAUAUAUAUAGAGAGAGAGAGAGAGAGAGAGAGAGAGAGAGAGAGAGAGAGAGAGAGAGUUGAGCUAGAAUACUAUCGAUAGCAAAUCGGCUCUUUUACUGCCCAUUGUUUUCGAUGAUGGAGCCUCCAAAUUGAUGAUCGGCACCGUUGAACAUGAUUUAUACCAUUUGAAAUAUUUAGAAAUUAAAUUUCAUACAUUUCGAUAUUGUUCUCUUAUCCAUCGAGUGGACACAAAAAUGAACGGCUGAAAAUGAAUAUUCUCAAAAAAAUGAUGAUAGGAGUCUUGUAAUCAAGAUCAAAAGUAUAGAUCUUAUUUUAAAUAGUUUAAAGAAUUUUCUAACAAAAAUUCAAUUGAUUUGGAUAUCUUUAUACCAUUAAACGAGAAAACGCCUCAUAUCNAGUCUAGAUCUUAUUUUAAAUAGUUUUAAAAAAAAUUUACAAAAAUUUAGUUGAUUUGAACUUUUCUACAUCAUUAAACGAGCAAAUGCACCAUAUCGGUCAUUAAAAUUAUAGGUUUUAUGACCCUUUGAUCAUUCAGUUAGUGAUGCCAAAAAAUAAUGAAAAUUGAUUUCUAGAUAAUUUAAAUGAUCUAGAUCAUGUUCAACAGUGCCAAUCAUCGAUUUGAAAGCUCUAUCAUCAAAAAUAAAUCGAUAGUAAAUCGAGCAGUUUAAUACCGAUAGUAGUCCAGUCAAACUCUCUCUCUCUCUCUCUAUAUAUAUAUAUAUAAAGCAAACGAUGCACCAUAUAUAUGUAGAUAUAUACACUAAGAAAGUGUACAACAACACGACUCCAAAUUACUUUACUAAAUUAUUAUACAAACAUCAUCGAUCGAUCUCAUUCCACGCAUGCAUGUCAAGCUAGCACGUCGGCCUAUUUCAGAACUGUAUUGUCUAAAAGCACUCAUUUUUAUAUUUUAAAUAUUUUGAAUUUUUUUAAAAUAAUAACGAAAUAAAAACGGAUGCUUUUAUUAGCGACUCAAUCUGGAACUAGGCCUAGCGACUCAAUCUGGAACUAGGCCUUAGAAAACGUGCUCCCUUCCUGCUCUGAGAUUUAUGAAGUAUCCACGAGGGUCGCUCUCGAACACGUCCCUGGGAAUGAGCGCGCCGCGUCGCCCCGGGGCGCGCAUCAUCCUGCGACAACAGCAGCAGAGGCUGCGGAGGCAGCGGUAGGGGAUGCAGAGGCAGCUGCAGAGGCAGUGGCGGCAGCAGUAGAGGCAGAGGAGGGCGAGGGCGGCGGGGAGGCCGUAGACGAGGCCGAUAUGGGUCCAGCGGGCGAACGUAUCGGCCCGGGUGUCGGGGGGGAACACCUCGUCGGCUUUGCUCACCAGGUAGGUCCAGAUGUGCUGGAAGAAGUGGAGCAGCUCCGCCAGCUUCUCCUUCACCAAGUCGAGAGCGUCGCCUUUCAUGUCGUCCAGCCUGUUCGAUCGGCCGGCCGACGUGCUCUCCAGCACCAGGAACUUCCUCAUCCCCUCGAUCUUUGUAUAUAUAAAUUAAAUGAUCUCUCUCUCAGAGUGCAUGUAUGUGUGCAAUGGCUCAAGAGGAGGAGGUGAUACAUAUUUAUAUAUGGAAGGACUUUACGAUAUGUUGCACAACAGGUCCAUUUUUAUCCGAUGGAAAGAGAAAAAGAGCAGAAAAAGAAAAAGAUAAAAAGGAAAAAAAAAAACAAAGUAAUUUUAUUUUCCUUUAAUAUAUAUAUAUAUAUAUAUAUAUAUAUAUAUAUAUGAGUCUGGCUACUAUACUCUUAUGAGUAUAAUUCUCUUCGUAUUUAUAAGUUUUUGGCCGUUAGAUUUACUUUUUUUUAUUAUUUUCACCCGUUAGAUUAUACUAUUCAACCAACCACCCACUCAACCCUAGGGGACCACUAUUAACGUAACCGGGGAUCACUAUCAUCCUAACCACACAUCUCUUCAUCCAAUAGUUGAAAAUUUGAGUACAAAAGGAGGUAUACUCAUAAGAGUAUAGUAGCCCUAUCCAUAUAUAUAGAGUCCGGCUACUAUACUCUUGUGAGUAUAAUCCCAUUUGUACUUAUAAAUUUUUGGCCGUUAGAUUUAUUUCUUUUAUCAUUUUCAUCCGUUAGAGUGUUGGUUUUUCAGUCGAAUAUUGCUCAAAUUAACACAAAUUGAGAAUUUUCUAAAACUUUUCUUGUGAAAAUUAGUACAAUUUUUAUUUUCUGAUCUUGUGCUUGCACGUUCUUAGGCAUAUUGCAAUGGACAUAAUUCUAAGUACUAUUUUUACUGUCAUAGAAAUACACCAGAUAUAGCCAAUAUUUUUUUAAAAAAAUUAGUGAAGAAAGAUAAGGAGUAAUAUGAAACACUUUUAAAAACUAAGGAUCUAAAAUGCCAAACUUAUAAAGUUUAAAACUAAUAGAAUGCAAUUUAUUGUCACUACAACAAAAACGGUCUAUAGCGACAUUUUUAAAUAUAGGUAUAUGUCAAAAAAGUGCUGCUAGCUAAAAUUACCGACACUUUUAAAAAGUGUUGCUAUAUGUGGGGUCGCUAGAUAUAUAGUGACAGUUAAAGAGUGUCGCUAUAACUUAAAAGAGUGCUGCUAAUUUACCAACACUUAUUUAAGCAUUUAGCAAUCGUCGAAACUCUCUCUCGUUGGCUGCGGUGGCGGAGGAGGACGACAGGAAAGGCUCUUCGUCUAGAAUUUCAGUGGAUUGAGUAAAGAGAGAAGAAAAGAUGGUAAUUGAUUUUUUCUUUUUUUUCUUUUCUGUUUGUAAUCGGGCCAAAUGGACUGGGUGUGGUGGGUUGAGUAGAGUAAUCUUUUAUUUUUGGUUGGAUUGGGCUUUAUAUUUAGGCAUUAGUAGAUGUUUUUUUAAGUUUUAGCAUAAAUUGGACACUUACCUAAAAAUAUCCCAAACAUGUGUCCCUAUAAUCUAAUUUUGUUGUAGUGUGUGGACUAUAUUAUAAUAUAGAAAAAUUACUGCAUGCGUGCGCUGUGCUGCACAUUACUCUUGAAGACUCAGGCAAAAUAAUUUGGGUCUCCCGAAAUAUUACUUUUAUAGAUUAUUGAUGUAUUAAUAAUUAAACUUAUCAUAUCUUUUUGGCUUGCAUUUAUAUAUGGAUCAAUUGAAACUCUUCUUUCCAACUGUUUAAACGAAAAAAAAAACAAUUACACAAUAAUGUUGGGAAUUACGAUUAUCAAUCAUAUCUAGCGCAAUUGGCUAAAAGUUUGAUGUUGGAUAUCUAAAAUCCUAAAAUUCAAAAUCUAAUUACUCUAUUUUUAAAAUUAAAUUUAUUUCUAAAAAAUAAAAAAAAGGUAGCAUAUUAUCUUUCGCUACAAAAAAAAACACUCACACACAGACACACACAUUAGGAUUUGCUAUUAAUUGCUUCCUCCUAAAGGCUUUCCCAUGGUGUUUUUGGUUUUUUUUAAUUUUUUUCCCCCCUAAAAGUAUGUUCAAAUGAACUGGCUAACUCACUCAUCACCUGUGUAAUGGCUCCCAAGUCCAUUGCUUAUGAAAAUUAAUAAAAUCUCAACCUAAAUCCCUCCUACUAGGAAAAAUAAAUUAUAGGAUAGUACCUGGAGAUUAGAUGGAAAAUAAAAUAUUACUUACCCACCAGUUUAAAAUUCGAAUGCUAGAUAGAGAUAAUGAUUCCCUGCAUAAUAGUGUGCCAACCUUUAUUGUUUUUUUUUUUUUUUUUUUUUUUUUUUUUUUUUUGGUGUGUCGCACUCUACUAUUCCACUAAUUAUCCUACUAGCUUUUUAUUCCACUAACAAAUAAAAAAAAAGAAAAAAUCUUCCACUAACGAAUAAAAAAAGAAUAAAAGUAGUCCUGUAUUUAAUUAUAACUCGUCGCCACUCUCUCACUCCCUUAAACAAAAAAAAAAAAGAAAAAGAAAAAGAAAAAAGAAGAAGUACUAUGUUGCAAUUAAAAAAAAAAUCCGUUCUGCAGGAUGUUAGUAGAUGGAUGAAUCUUUUUUGGGAAAACUUCUGAAACCCCCCUUGUGGUUUCAUUUUUUUUCACUUUAGUAUCAUGUAGUUUAAAAUGUAUCAAGUUAGUACCUUAUGGUUUAUCACUUUAUCACUUUAGUACCCUGUGGUUUAAAGUGUAUUAAGUUAGUACCAUGUGGUUUUACACUUUAUCACUUUAGUACCCUAUGGUUUCGCACUUUAUCACUUUAGUACCUUAUGGUUUAAAAACCAAAGGGUACUAACUUGAUACAAAAUUAAAACCACAGGGUAGUAAAGUGAUAAAGUGCAAAACCAUAGAGUACUAACUUGAUACACUUUAAACCAUAGAGUACUAAAGUGAUAAAGUGAGAAACCACAUGGUACUAACUUGAUACACUUUAAAUUAUAGUAGGGUACUAAAGUGAUAAACUAUGAAACCACAGGGGUUUUUUUUAAAGUUUUUCCAUCUUUUUUCCUCUUACCCCUACUUUCUUUUGCUUUUGCUUCCUUUGCCUUUUUCUUUUUCUUUUCUUUCCAUGUUCUUUCUCUCUUUAGAUUGCUUUAGCUUGUUCCUUUUUUUCGCAAAAAAGUAAAAUUCAGAUCUCUAAUAACUUAAAUAUUUAUAAAGUAAUAAUGAGAAUAAAAGAUUCUGAAUUCAAAUCCCCUUACUUCGGAUUUUAUAAAAUUUUUGUGCAUUUAAUUUAGAUUCAUCUCUUGAAUUUAUUAAAAUGUUAAAGAAAAAUAUUAAAUAUACAUAUUAAAAAUUAUACUAAAAAAUAAGAGAUUAAUUUAGUGGUUUAAGCUUAGGGAAGUAAUAGUUGAUCCACUAGGCUUCUAGACAUAUUUAAUUUUUUCUCAUUCAAUAAUAAGUCCACGUCUCGAAACAACGAUCAUCACAUAUAAUUUAAUAGCAAUCUCACGAGAACAAAAGAGGACACCAACUAUUUCUGGCGCAAGUGAUCACAAAGUGUUUAUUAGUUGAUGCUAAGAUCCUAAGUUUAAGGUUCGUAUAUUAAAAAAUGAAUGAAAUGGAAUAUGGAUGCUAGAAAAAUGAUCAAAAUUAAGAGAACUAAAAAUUCUGCAUCUAAUUAAUCAUCUAAGAGAAAGUCCUGCCUGAAACCUUAAUUACACUACAACAAAACUGAGCUAUAGCGACACUUUUAAGUGUCCCUAAAACUAUAAAAAAGUGCUGCUAGCAAAAAUACCGACACUAAAAAAAAUGUCGCUAUAUGUGCAGUCCCUAGGGUAUAUAGCGACACUUAAAAAAGUGUCGGUAUAUCCCAAAAUAAGUGCUGCAAUUUAGUGGCACUUUUUUUUAGUUUUUAGUGACACACAUAAGUGUCCCUAAUUUUUUUUAAAAAAGUAAUAUUUUUUUUAUAUAAUAACACUUUAUAAGUGUCCCAUUGUCAUUCAAAGUAUAAUAUUUAUUUAAACAUCUAGUCUAGUAUUAAACUUUAGUUAAGCUAAUCUCAUUUAUAUUAAAUUGCUGAGACUAAAAAAAAGCAAUCAACAAAGUUUUUUAAAUUCUUAUUAAAAUGAUAAAACUAAAAUCAAAUAUACAUACGUCACAACAAUAAUAUCCACUCAUAUGUUGUAGUAAUUAUAAUAAAUCAAACUCUGAAAAAAAUACAAAAAAUUAAAAAUUGGAUGAUAACAAAAUCAAAAGAGCAUAAACGAAUUCUAAUCGGCUCCACGAAUAUAUACUUGAACCUGCACAUUGAAUAACAUUUGAAUUAAUUCAAAUUUGUGCAACAUCCUUGAUUUGCCAAAGCAUUAAAAAAGAAGAGUGUAUUGCCUAUGUUUAUAACAACAAAAUGCAGGAGUUCCGCAAGAAAUUAAAACAAAUCAUUUUCCGUCGACAUUAGUACCGAGACAUUAAUUAUUUUAAUCUAUAAUUUUUCUCUUUUUAAAAUUCUAGCAUUGUAAAUACAAGUUACUUACAAGAGAACAAGAUACCAUGUACACGGUUAAGUUGAGAUUUAGAAAGAUCACUCGAGCAUUAAAGAUCUAUUGAGGUAGAAACAGUAGUCUUAAGAGAAAAUAAUUACAAAAUUCGACCUCGCAAUAAUAUUAUUUGCCUGCUGCAACAUGUGCUCGGCUCAUAAGAACUAUGUAAACUUUAUAGGAGUAAUAAGGGUGCAAUAAAUACCAUAGUCAAAUAUAAAACUAUUCAGAAUAUGCAUGGUAUUUUAAAGCAUUAUUUGUUGUUGUUUGUGAUUCCGAUUCAAAAUAAACAACAAAGAGCGAGUCGAGGAGACCUUACAAAGGGAGUGAUUGAGGCCCCCCUUGCAUUUUUGCUCUUUUUGUCCUCAAUCUCUCCAUAAAUUGUGGGUUGGCCCUCAGUCGAUCUUUGACGUAGGCGUUUCGAGCCGCCUCCACUAGUUUAUCUGCUUUCAUCGCGUCUUCAAUCAAGGCGUAUAGAGUCCUCAGACAAUCUUUUUUGUUCUCUUCCCUGUGCUCAAACCUGGAAUUGCAAGAAAAGGGAUGGCUCCUUUAUAAGCUUCCAAAGUUAUAGUUCACAUGCAUUUUGCAUGAUCUAUGAGUGUGAGUGAGUGAUUGUUCAGUAAACUUAGAUGCUAAAAUUUGAAAAGAGAGCUUCAUAGGAGUAUAAAAAGUCUAAGGCAACUAUUGCGAUUUUUCGACAUCAAAUGGAAGAGAAAACAAAAGAUCAAGUAAAAGACUGAGAGACAGAAGUUGUAGAUCCCGCACAUGUAAAAAAGCACAAAUAAAAGUAUAGUCCGGUGUUUCCUAGGCAACUUUUUCACAUGAGAUGUAAGUAGCCUGUUUACAUUGCAAGUACCUAACAAAAAAGAAAUUGUUUUAUCUUACUCUUUUCACAUUAUUGAUAUCACAAUGCCUGUCUAAUGGAAGUUCCUUGAUCCUAUUAGGGAAGUUCCCCUCAAAACUUGCAACAAUUUUCCAUCCUGCACCCUGCAUAUACAAGGUAAAUCUUUUAUAGAUGCAUUACAUAUAUAACGGCUAGUAAGUUUUCUUUUUAAGAAAAGAAAAACAUAACUUUCUACUAACCUCACCAGUUGCAAUAUGCUGAAGAAACUUAUCUUCAAAUUCUCGGCAAAGCUCCAGAGCAAUAGUUCUGGUUCCUUCCGCACUAUGCACCAUUUGCUCCCCCAGCCUUACCAAUUCAUCUUGUACUAUCUGCGACUUAUCCUGCAGGAGCCUGAAAAUAGUGCUCACAGAAGAAGUUCAUUAGUUCAAAACUGAUCAAACAUUUUUUACCGAGCCUACUGAUCAACACUAAAUUAUUUGGAAAUUGGAAUACACAAUUAAAAAAGCUAGAAAAAGCCCUCCAUCUCUGGCUAAUCACUCAGCCAUCUAUACGAUUAAAAAAAUCAAGCAAAGUCAAUAAAUUUUUUAGUACUCAAUAUGUUUGAAAUAAAAGGGUAUAAAUGCUUCAUGACUGGCCUCUGCUAUUUCUAUUGGGAAGCAAUUAAUUCUAGCCAUCUAUUAGAAGCAUAAAAUUUUCAACUUUCAAGGAAGCUGAUAAGCUAUUGCUUAACAGGACAUCACAUUGCAAGAAUUAUAACAUUACAUAGUUUAAGUAUGAUAAUCCCAACUGUUAUCAACGAAGCAAACAUGGAAAUUUAUUGAUAACCUCAUAUUCUCAUGAAUAUACAAAGAUGUGAAAUUAAAAUUAUGCAAAAGCAGAAUAACUCUUCAAAUUCUAACCUCCCAAUAUGUGGAGCCUCCUAUUUACUUGUGCAUCUUACUUUGGUGCAAGUGCAGCACAGGAACAAAAGGACAAAGCUUUCGAUAAAUUAGUAAAAGAAGAGUGGUUGUUCAUUAUUAGAGAUAGCAUCAGGUAUAGUUGAUAGUUCAGCCAAAACCAAAUUAGAUAUCAACAUAAAAGAUAAUUUGGAAGCCAAAACCAAAUAACAUAUUGCUCAAUUGACAAGUUACAUCUCACACAUAAUAACAAAAAAAAAGAAAUCACAAAUAAAUCAAAGAUGAUAUCCACUUAGUUGAAAUACUGCAGAGGUCUAAAGCAAAUCAAAACAGGAACUUAUCCUUGAAUCCUAACACUGUUCAAUUGAGAUGCAACAAUAAGACUUAUGUUUCGCUUUAAACUUCUAACAGUCUGCUUUAAGCUGCACAUUAAUCCUUGUACAUCAAUCCCAACUUUGAGGCUUAAGGUCAUGCAUCUUACAACUUAUCUUCAAGAUCUAAAUGUGUAGAAUUUAGAUGUUGUUCUAAACAAAAGAGUUCAACAGUUCAUUAUAUAAAGGACCUAAUGUAAGAAUCAAAAUCUCUGAGUUUGAAUGUUGCAACACUAUAAGUUUAUUGUUAGUUAUAUUCAGCUAAUAGAAGAAAACAGAAUUUCACAUCUUUUAAUCCCUUCAAACCUACAGAUUUUCAACAUUUAAAGAUCCAAGAUGGUGCAUGCAAUUUUAUUCCAAAACUCUUUCGUGUGACAGUUAGAUAAGCAUAAUCUGAUCAUUAAUAGCAAGGCAAUUUAAUAGAAAAGGUUAUCGUUACUAGCCACAUACAUCACAAAGCAAAAUAUAUGCCUCUGUUCAACAACAUUCAGCUUAUGACAAUGGUCCCAAUAAACCAAUCAGCAAUUUUGGAAGCUUUUUACCUUCUCUAAAAGCAUAUGAAUGACUAAAAGCUUAGUCAAAGAUCAUCUAUAAGCCUUAAUUUGUUAUCGAAGCAAAAGAUUCAUGCACAAAGAUAUUCUUACAAGAAAUUACACCCUAAAUCCUCAUGAACAAGAAACCCUACCAUCGAUCGAGCUCACGUUCUUCUCCGUCUCCUCCUUUCACGCCUUUGACGCCGCCACGAGCACAGCUAGAAAGUGGUCGCCGGACUCCUUCCCCACCACCGCCGCCGCCUCGACGCUUGCCGCUCACUCCCCCGGCGACCGUGGCGUCUCGGGUGCUACGUCGGAGGAGGAGGAGAGCGAGGGCCUCUCUAGGGUUUCGGGGGGUCGGGUGAGGGGAGAAGAGGGAUACAACCCCUUUUUGUUUUCUCUUUUUUUCUUUUUUUUUUUUUUUGUAAUUGUGGUUUUUAUUUGGGCCUUGUUAGUUUUUUUUUCUAAUUUUAAAAGUUUUUUAACAUAUUGUGGGACACUUAUACUAAAGUGUCCCAAAAAAGUGUCUCUACAACCUAGUUUUGUUGUAGUGUAACAGACAUUUUCAAAACUUUGAAAUUGCAUAACAGAAUUAAUAAUGAUUAUUUCAGAGAGGACUCACACGAGGACAUUCAAGGGAACAUAACAAAAUUACUUCUCUCUAAUAUUAGCAACGUCAUUUCAAACCAUGCAUUCCUCGAACAUUCCAAACCAACUAAAGCACACGUAUAUAGUUCCAUCUCUAAACUAUUUAUGAAAUCCAAUAAUCAUACUGAAAUUAAUACUUCUAAAAACAUUACACAUUACUAUUCAUACGCAUGCUUUCACCCCUCCGUAACCUUUAAUGAGCGUAAAGAUUAGAGAUACAUUUGCUGAGGGAACAGCUAGAGCUAGGGAGCGUCCACACAUGUACAUUUGCAUGGAGCGCAUUCUCUUCUAUUUAUUCUUUCUUGGAUCUUAGAUUCUUGAAGUAGCCACUGGGGUUGCUCUCGAACCCGGCCCUGGAGAUGCGCUUGCCGCGUCUUCCGGGGGCCUUCAUCGUUCCGCCGCCGCAUCUUCUGGGGGCCUUCAUCGUUCCGCCGCCGCAGCAGCAGCAGCUGUAGAGAACGCGGAGGACGACGAAGACGGCGAGGCCGAUGUAGGCCAAAUGGGCCCAGUCAGCCUCGGCCCGGGCCUCCGGUGUGAGCGCCUCCCCAGCCUUCUUGAGCAAAUAGAGGUAGAUGCUGUAGAGGAACUGCAGCAGCUUCCCCUUUGCCAACUCCAGUAACGUUCCCAUCCACCCCAUCUCUCUCUCUCUCUCUCUCAAAUGGAUUAAUAGUGUUGAAGCACAAGGCUAUGAAGUUAUAUGUAUGGAAGGGAGCAGAUAAAAAUUAUUAGUUUGGAGACGAUGCGGAUGACACGGCAUGAUGAGUGCGUGCCCAUCGCACGUACAGGAACGAAAAGAAAAGAAAAAAAAAAUUCGUGCGCCUUAAUUUUAUGAAAGAGAGAGAGAGAAACUGAUGAAGAGAAAGGGAGGGUUGAGAUGCACAGGUUCACCACGUGGCACCCAUUCGCAUCAUUCUCAAAUUAGUAGUUUGGGGACUAUGCCCAUACAUCAUGCUAGCUUCGCUUUUUUUCAUUAAAAGAGUGGAUUUAAAUUUCCCCAAUAUCCCCAAACAAUAUUUUGGAGGGUAGGGUUGUUGACCUGAAUUAAUUGGAGUGGAAUUUUACCCCAAUUUAAUUUUUUAAUAGAAUUUAUAAUUUAAAUUAAAAGUUUAAAAUUUAAUUUUUAAAUUUAAAUUUAAAUUUUAAAUUUUUUAAAUUUAAAAAUUUGUAAGUUUAAAAUUGGUAUAUUUAAUUUUAAAUUAUUAAUUUUAAAUUUUAGAUUAUUAUUUUUAAUUUUUUAAAUUUAAAAUUUGAUAUUUGAUAUUUUUAAAUUUAAAUUUAAUCUUAAAAUCAAAAUUUAAAACUUCAAAUUUUUGAAUUUGAGAUUUAAAAUUUUUAUUUUUAUUUUAAUUUUUUUAAUUUUUAAAAUUAUAUAUUUAAAUUUAAAAUUUUAAUUAUGAAAUUUAAAAAUUUAAAUUCAAAUAUAAUGAGCAAUAUUAUAAUUUUCUAUUUAUAAUUACCUACUAUUCUUCUUAUUUCAUAUUAUCUAUCCAAAUGCCAUUUUUUUUAUUCUCGAAAAUAAUUCAAUUUUUAUUUCAAACUUAAUACUGAACUUAUAUUUAUUUUUAGAAUAAUAGUUCUUACUUAGCCCCAAAACAAACAAAGACUUCAUUAAACUUUCGAAAGACGUCGACGAGGGGGAGAGGCCAAAUCCACCAUGUCUGAAUUGGUGGUUUAAAUUUAUUGAAUCUGUGGGUGUCAAAAAGUGGAAAUUAAAGUUGUUAAUUAUUAAACGGAGUACCAUCUAAGUGCUAAGAUGGCUGUCUUAGUAAACGGAGGCCAAAUCCACCAUGUCUCAAUUGGUGGUUUUUAUUGAAUGCUAAUUAAGAUGGCUGCCUUAGUAAACAGAGUACCAUCUAAGUGGAUCAAAUCUAAACGAGGAGUGCGACAAGGCGACCCCUUAUCUCCUUAUCUCUUUCUUUUUGUGGCUGAAGGUCUUGCAAGGAUGGCUGUAAAGGUUGAGGAGUCCAACCUUCUCAAAGUCCUCGGACCCACGAAAGACAGCUCCAUAAUAUUAAUCCAGUACGCAGAUGAUAUCUUAUUUUUUUGUGAGGCAAGGAAAAAGUAUAUAUAUAACUUCAAAUUUUUGUGAAGUUUUUUUUGAAUGGGCCUCUGAAUAAAAAAAAAAAUCAAAAUUAUUCUAUAUGAAAAUGAAGGACGAAAAGGACACUAGACUUGCUGUAUCCUACAAUGCAAAGUUGGAAAUUUGCCUACAAGGUAUUUGGGUUUACCUUUGACAUUCAGGAAGCUUAAAAAAGAAGAUUGGGUUGGGGCCAUUGCUAGCUUCCAAAGGAGGAUUGAAAGCUCCUUUCAAGAGGUGGUCGUUUAACACUGGUCAAUUAAGUUCUUUCAAAUCUGCCGAUGCAUUUUCUUUCUAGUUUCAAGCACCGAAAUGAAUUUUAAAGCGAAUGGAGGCGCUGCGAAGGGACUUCUUUUGAAAAGAACGGGCGAGUUUUAUCGGUGGUGGAUGUCUGUUUGCUUGGAAAAACGUGUAUAUGAGUAAGAAGGAAGGUAGCUUAGGUGUUAAGGACUUGGCCACCAUGAACGAUGCUUUACUUGCUAAAUGGUGGUGGCGCUUUCGCAUUGAACGGGAAGUAUAAUGGACUAAACUUAUUAGGCGCCUAUACUACAACUGACGACGACCUCUACUAGAGGGAAGGCCCUUUCGGCCGGUCUCACAUUAUAAAGGGUUCAGAUCAUCCUAACUGCACAUCUUUUAAUACAAGGACAGAAAACUUAAUAGCACUAAGUCAUUGGUGCUAUUAAUAGUAUUCCAGCCUAGUUUGUUUUUUUUAUAUGUUGUAAAUUAUAGGGUUAAUUGUAUACACGUCCCUGCAAACAUAGUGAAUUGUAGAUAUAUUCCUGCAAAGCUCAAUUUUCAUAAGAUAUCCCUACAAAAGUCCUAAUGUAUUCAGAUAUGUCCGUGCCGUCAGGAUCCGUUAGAGAAAUUUCAUUAACCACAGUUAAAAUACUUAACCAUGGUUAAUUAAUAAUGUGAAUUUACAAUUUUGCGCUUCUUCUUCUUCCUCUUCCUCUCCUGCUUCUUGUUCUUCCUCUUCUUCCCCAUAUCCUCCUUUUCCUCCUUUUCUCUUUCUUCUUCUUCUUCUUCUUCGUCAUCGUCGUCAUCGAUGAUCCGAUCGUCGUCGCCGUCGUGGUGCCCUUGUGGGCCGUCGUCACGGGCGCCUCCGACGGCAUCGGCCGCGCCUUCGCCUUUCGCCUUUUUCUCGUCCUUGUUGGUUGCAACCCCGACAAGCUCCGCAAUGUCGCCGUCGCUGCCGCCACCGCUGUGUGCUCCCGCAGCCUGAAGAGGAAGAGGAAGAGGAAGAGGAAGAGGAAGAGGGUAAAGGCAAAAUUAUCAUUUCACAACUCUACUGUUAAAAAAUUAACAGCUCUCUAACGGAUCCUAACCAGAGGGACAUAUCUGAAUACAUUAGGACUUUUGUAGGGAUAGCUUAUGAAAGUUGAGCUUUGUAGGGAUAUAUCUGUAAUUCACCAUGUUUGCAGGGAUGUGUAUGCAAUUAACCCUAAAUUAUAUAUAUGGAUUGUGCUUGUACACCCGGUGCAGGCAAUAAUUUCUCAUGUUAGAGGGCCAACCGGAGCAUAGUUCAUUACGGCCUAGUAAUGACCCGGCCCGGCUAAAAAAUAUCCAAAUUUUCGACCCGGCCUAAUAACAACAAAGCUGGGUUUAUUGUGGCGUCCAUUUCGAUAGAUCGAUAUCGAGCGCCCCAACAAAAACCUCUCUUUUACACCCUCAGGCGGCGGGGCGGCGUCUUCGUCGAGGAGAGCGAGGUCGCGAGGAUCAUUCUCAAAGCGGUUGAUCCCCCUAUCCCCCAAUAAUCUCCAUUGGUACCCUUCCUUUCCUCUUCUUUUCGAUCCAAUCCCCUUUUCCUUGGCAAGGUUCGAAUCGAUUCUUUUUCGCUACUUUUCGAGAGAUUCCGGUCGUUUGAGAUUCGAUUUUUCUUAGGGUUGGGUUUUUCUCCGCUAAGAAUCGAUUCUAAAUAUAGAAAAGACGAUCAGAAAAGGAGAGAAAUUUCUCAUUUGUGCUAAAAAUAGCUUCCUGUUUAAGCUUAGUGUCGAUUCAAUCCCCAUGUUGAAACUCUGGCGAUUUUGAUCUCUUAAAUUUGAAUUUGGUUUGGGCAAAAAAAAGAAAGCUUUUUUGUGUGGCGUUUUGUGGGAAUUUUCUUGAAUUGAUUUUAGGUUAUCAGAAUAUAGCUGCAUUGGUUGGUAAAUUGUGCUUGAGAAUUGAGAUGAUUCUUUUCCACUUCUUUUGAUAGGUAUCUGCGAGAAAAGAGGUUCUUUUCAUGCACAAAGAGCCGUUCAAAUUUACCCUUUUCAUGUAGAUAUUGCGAUUAAUGAUAUAGCAAUCAAAUUCUUGUAGGGAGAGGGUUUGGGCUUGCUAGGGAGUUCGAUAUUUGCAGGUUGAAAACCCUCUCUUGUACAAAUUUUGGCAUCGGUUCCUGAGUAAAUUAUUGUUAUAAAGAUUUGGGAGUGGGAGGAGUAUGGGAUCGGUUUGUUCCUGCUUUCAAGGAGAUGAUUUUGGAGAAUAUGCCAAUGUUGGUGCUUCGAUCUAUAGACACUGCAUCUGCCUGAGAUGCUUCGCUCGACAGAUUAUUCAGGCAGUAUGUCCAUUCGCGCUUUAUCUGUCGUCUUCUAUUUUCAAUUCUGUGUAUUUGUCAUAUAAUGGAAGUUAGGAAAACCCCAAUUCUCCACGUGAAAAGAAAAUUGAUUGUUGUAUUCUCUGAUAUCUGUUUAUUUGGCUUGAUGAAUCAGUUACAAUAGCUUCAGUGGGUAUUCUUUAAUGAGUUUCCCAGGAUGACAAAUAGAGUGAGUUGUCGUUGCUUGGGCAUAAGAAAGGAAGGCAUUACCAUUUAUACCUAACAUUGUUGAAACUUUUACAUAUCAGGAAAUCGACAAACUUAGUAGGAAGCAUAUUGGAAGUUUGGCAUGUUGCUUUGUCUAUUUCAUGAGUCUAUAAUGCAACCUGUAAGAUAAGUCUAUCAUUCAAUUUAUGCAUGGGAUGGUCUCAUGUCAAUUUUUAGAAGGUUAAUGCUAGCUUUAAAGGUUUAUUGCAAGAUUCAUAUUUGGCUGUAAAACCCAAUCAUUUUUUUUUUGUUGCUGGGCCUCUUUCUAUUUUGAAUUAUGCUCUUUGUUGGCCUCAUUUGGCUAUGGGAAGGCUUGGGACAAAGAAGAUUAGAAUUCUACUCUUACUGUUUCAGUUAGAUAUGAUACUUCAAGAUAAAUGCUAUUCAAACGGUAUUCAUUUGUCUGAUGAUCUAUAAAUAGUGGAUAUGCCUCUUCUAUUUCCGAAAGGUUCAGCCAUUUCAUGAAAAGAAAUACCGAAGGUGGCACUUACUCCAAAAUCUCGCUUUUCAAUGGAAAUACUGCUGGGUGUUGAUCUACUGUUAAAGUUUGGUGGUGAAUUGUGGACGGUAUAACUUUUCAAAAGUAUUUUGUAAGAAAACUAAGAAUAUAUAUGUAUUGAAUGACAUGCAACUUGUGAUUGUUAUGCUCUUCAUAUGUCCCCCUAUAUGCUGAAAACAGCUAAUUUCUCUUGGAGACCUGUUUAUUAAACCAUCUUUCUUAAGUUCACUUGCUGUAAUGCUCUUCGGCUGUUCUGAGGCAUUUGCUGAUCACUUAAUAAUAGGUAGCUACUAUUGUUAGUUCUUCCAUCGCCCCUUGGUGCAGCCACUAUUCACUAGUUCUUUCUAGUUUCUAUCACUGGUUAUGCUCCUGUGAAACUUAUUUAAGUGGUUAUGAGAUAGAAGUCUUAAAUUUUCCCACCUGGUGUCUACAUGCAUUUGAUAUCCGAAUGUUCAUUUUUAGAAAAAGUUGCAUAUUGUGGUGGGUACAUCAUGAUGUUUUGUAGUUCUCUUUUGUAAAUUGAGCAUAACUUGGCUGGAUCUGCUUAUUAUCCAAAAAAUAGUUAUUAUAGCAUUGUUUUUGGAACAACUGUAGAAGAUAGACUGCUUUGGUUUACUAGGGUUUUGUGGGGAGAGGUGCCAACUAGAAUAUGCUCGACUAUAAUGCCAGGGAAUUCGAGUAAUAUUGUGUUGUACUGAGAUCUAAAAUAUGAUUUUUAUGAGGCUAUCAUUUUUUCCUUUUGACUCUGCAGUACAGCACAUUGUUCCAAAGAGGUGCUUUGCCCUCUGUAUCUCCAUCUGUACAAGGGACAACUCCCAUUGCUUCAAUUGAAAGUUCUAUAUUUGAUGCAUACCGUUCUCUUCCGAGGCCUUUGCCUUAUGAUGAUCCUAGAUGCUCUCGUGUACCACGUGAUGGUCUUGUAUUGAGGCGUGACAAGUCUUCAGGCCAUCUUAAUGAAGAAUCAGAACCACUUAGAACUAAUAGUGACAACGAAGUAGAAUCUCCCAGUUCAAAAGAUAAGAGUGCCGGAUCUAAUUAUGAUGGAAACCUCAAGUUAUGUUGUUCUGGAUAUGCUUCGAAGCUUCUGCCAGCAGAAUUCACAAAAGGAACGACAUACUAUUUUCCAUCAUCUGAAGAUGAAGAUGUGUGCCCGACAUGUCUUGAAGGUAGACAAUUUAUUUUUCAUUUAUUACUUUCAUAUGUGUGGCAUAUACAACCUCUUAGUUAAUAUAGCUCUGAUGAUAUAACAUCCUUGGUUUUGGUAUUGAAGAAACGUCCUGAGGUAAAUAUGAUGAGAAUUUUGCUUGCAGAUAAGCUGAUUUCAGUGAAUGGACAUUUUAACUUUUUUGAGUCAAUUAUCUUGUUUCUAAGUUAGCGUGGUGUGAUUUUCAUCAAGUAUCCUAUUUUGGGUAGCACCCAGUUUUCAAGCAAAAUUCCUGGAAAUGGAUUCAAAUUCACCCCUCAGGAAAAUAGUUUACGUUAAUAACUUAUUCUGAAUAAUUAAACACACCUAAUAACUUAUUCCGAAUAAUUAACCACACCCCAAAGACAAUAUGUUUAUGUUAUGCAUGUGGGCUUGAUUGCCAAAAAUCUUUGACUUAAAUUUGCUGAAAAUAGAGACCUAUAUUAAAAGAAAGAAAAAUUCCUAGUUAAUAAAUAAAGGUUAUAUACUUGUUUUUGACAUAUUUUAUAACUAUCCCUUCUGCAGAAUAUACUCCUGAAAAUCCCAGGAUUGUAAUGCAGUGCUCUCAUCAUUUUCACCUCGGCUGUAUAUAUGAGUGGAUGGAAAGAAGUGAAGCUUGUCCGGUUUGCGGCAAGGUAACUGAUUUAUCGCUGCCUAUCAUAAUGAAUAUACCACUAUCCAUGCAAUUAAUUUUACUUUCCCCGUGGGGAUGCCGACAAUCUUUGCUGACAAAGCUGUUGGAAUACUAGUACAACUAGCUCAGCAGUGCUAAUAAUUUUAAAAUUUGUACAUCUUGUGUUAGUUAUUGCUUCCUUUUGUUAUGCGUUGCUGAUGGAUCGGUUCAACAGGUCAUGGCGUUCAACGAAGCAACUUGAUACUUCUGAAUCGACUAAGAACUUUAUUCCUAUAUGUUUGUAAAUUUGUAAAUACAUUGGACAUAAUCAGCAUGCUGUUGUAGGCUGUAUAUAUGUGUUCUGGAAGUGUAACACAAUAAUUUUAUCUUCGUUGUUUACUGGACGUAGAAUAUCAUUCAAGGACGAAUUCAUGGCAUCAUACUGUAUCAUGAUCUCAUUUUCUUAAUCCUUUUUUUUUUUUCGACAUUGUUGUUAUUAAUUUAUUAGGUUUCUGUGAAUUAUUGACAUUGUGGAGAAGGACUAUUAUCAUUUAAGUCUUAUAAAUAAACUAGGAAAUGUGUCGCAUUUGUCAGUGCGGUGGUUGUUUCUAUCUAAGGAAAAGGAAAAUCGUAGCCAGCAAGUUAUAUAAUAUAUAUAUAUAUAUAUAUAGAGUCCAACUACGGUGCAUUUGAAAGUAUAAAUGAGUUGGUAUGUUUAAAUUUUUAAUUUUUGAAUCCAUUUUUUUGAUCAUUUUUAAUUUUUAAAUUAAUAUUAUUUUUCUAAGAAGACCACUAAACUCUAUAAUAGUAUAUCAGUCUAGCUCUCUCUCUCUCUCUCUAUAUAUAUAUAUAUAUAUAUAUUCUUGUGGGUGUUUUUUAUUUAUUUAUUUAUUUUUCAUUUUGAAAGCAGAUAGAAGUUUGCUUAUAAAUUUUUAUGAGGUUCCAGUAAUUCUCUAUUAUUAUGAAGUAAUUUAUUCAAAUUCUAAGAAGCAAGGUUUUAAGUGUCCAUCGGCACGGACCGUAUCCACUGUGCUGUACAGUGCCAACAAGAUACCGGUACGAUACAGACCUCGUGCCGAUGCCAGAGCUUAAAACCCUCUAUUUUUUAAAUUAGUAAGUAAUUUUUUCAAUAAAGUUCAAAAGAUGUGAUAAAAAGAAAAAAUAAAUAGUUAGAAUAUUUUGUUGCUAAAGAAAAUAAAUAUUUUAUACUAUUAUGUGUCAGCACAGAAGAAUUUUUUUUUACCGGCACACAUCGGCAUGGCUCGGCACGCAUCGUGUUGUACCAUACCGGCAAGUUUCCAACACGGCCCCGUGCCACGGCACUUAAAUUCUUGCUAUGAAGUAAUUUAUCUUAUUUGAUUUGCAUGGACAAACAAAAUGAAAUCAUAGAGGUAUGCCUUUUUGCAGUUUCUCAUCUACUAAAUUAUUCACGUCCUUAAUUUGAGUAAAUACGAAAGAUGUGUUAAACAAAAAUAUUUAUUCAACCAAUUUAACAAUUAUAGAAAUUGAAUAAAUUAUAAUAAAAAAAAUUAAAUUGGCCUAUUAGCUCAGUUGGUUAGAGCGUCGUGCUAAUAACGCGAAGGUCGCAGGUUCGAAACCUGCAUCGGCCAUUAAAUAAAUUGUUUUUUUUUAUUUCAUUAAUUUUUUUGUUUGUCCUUGUGCACUUUUACCAUUAUUUUAGCAUACAAUUUAGAUCUACUCAUUCAAUAUUUAUAACAAUUAAUCACUCUUUUCAUUUUUGUAUAUUAAAUGGAAUUUGUAUCAGUGAAAACUAAAUUAUACCUGAUUAGGCAACAAUGCUAUCUCCAUGUUUCUUCGAAAAAAAAAGAGGGGUUAAAAAAAAAAAAAAAGGUAGCUCCAUGGUUUAAAAUUUGAGUAAUACAUCAAUACAUCAUAUAAAUCUUAACCAUUUAUUUUUCUUAAUAGAUAGUUUAGAUUUAAUAUGACUCUAGAGGUGGCCUACUAUUGAAGCAUAGGCACAAUUCACGAGGUACCUAUUUAAAGGAUAUUUUAGUCUUUGUAAAAUAUUUUGGUCUACAAAAUCAGCUUUAUCCAACUAAAAAUACUGUAACAUUUUCAAAUGCCUACAGCAAUAGUUGGACUUCAAAUUACAACAAAAUUAUAAAUUUAAAUUCAGAACAACAUUUAAAACUUAAUUAUAAAUCAAAUUCAAUUUUUUUAAAUAUAAAACAUAAAUUUAAAAUAAAACUUUCAGUUCUAAUUCAAAAUUUUAAUUUAAAUCAAAAAAUUAAAAUUUGGCUUUAAGAUUAAAAGUUCAAUUUAGAUUCAAAUUUAAAAGUUUAAUAUAAAUUUCAAAAUUCAAAUUUUACAUUACAAUACUAACUUCAAAAAUUAAAUUUAAAUUCAAUAGUUUUUUGAGCUAGAUACUUAACAAAUUGGAUAUUAUCUAAUUUGGUAAGUUACCAAAGUAAAUAAGAUAUUUAAUAUUUAUAGGAUACUGACAAAUUUGGUAUAUACUACUAAUUUUCUUUUCCAAUACUAUCAUAUUAAUUGAUUCAAAUCGGUAACCUGUUCAACAGGUUACUUCAUGUAAAACCCAACUAUACCCUUUAUUAAUUAAGAAUUAGAUUUUUAUAUUUAUGGUGUAUUGAAGCAUCCCUUUUAAAAUUUUGGAACCUAAUUAGUACCUGCCUCCUUAUCAUAAACCUCUUUUUCUGCUUGUAAAGCAAUUGUAGGUAACAAAACAAUAUUAAAUGUACAAAAAAGAAAUGUCACAUGCAUUUCUCAUUAAUAUAUAUCCUCCAAACAAGUGGGGAAUGCAUGGAUUUGUCCUCUUUGCUACUACCUGUUGUUCCAUCAAUUUGAGACAUUAUGCACCACAAACAUUAAAGAUUCAUAAAAGGAGUUGCUUCUCCUUGACUUUUCAAUUAGAUUAUGACUAUUCUAUGCGAAAUCUAGCAAGCCUACUAAGCUUUAUUGGCCUCAUCCCACUCAACAAUCAAAGGCAAAUUAGGCACUUGUGGGUGUAAGAUGCCCAAAAUCUCUGCAGCUCCUUAGAAAUGAAUGGAGGUGAGCAAUGGAAAACAACUAGUCAUGUACAAUAAUAUACUGUGGACAAUAACUUUGGCAAUUGAGAUCUAUGAAGAGACAUAUUUAAGAGAUUUGUGGAUGUUAUGGCCUUGUAAAUAUAUAGCUUUACAAAGCCUCUGCAUAUAUGCGUGUGCACUACCAGUUUUACUAUUCAAGAUAUGGUUGGAUACUUAAUUUGUGGGGCUAUGCUGGUUCUUUGAUUUAUAACAUGUUAACUAAUAUCUGCUUUGAGUAGUACUUAAGCUUUUAGGAUUUUUGAUUUUUCUCUCUCUAGAUUGAUAAGAAUUUAUAGAAGAUGAGAGGAUGAGGUGAUGUUUAGUGUGAUGAUGCACAUGUGAUGCAUCUGUAUUGUUGAAUGAUUAGUGUUGAUGUAAUCUUUUCAAUGUAAUAGAUCCAAAAUUUAGCCCAACAUGUCUAAUUUUUUUAUCUUCUUUUGUCACGUUUCGAUUUGCUUUAAUAAAUUAUUUUUUUAAUAUAUAAUUUUUUCGUUCUGCCAUUCCAUUUAGAUUUAUAUUUUGGUCAUGUAUAUAAAGUGCUCAAUAAAUUUUAGUAAAGCAACUUUUUAUAUGAUUGUGAAAGGGACACUCACAUUUUGCUUGUAAAGCAUUUAGUAAAUUCUAGUAAAGAAACCUUUUCUCCCCCUCUUUUUACACCUCCCAAAAAAAUUUAUAAAUAUCUUCAAUGUGAGAUAGCAAAUGGCUCAGGAUAAUACAAUAUGGUUGUUAACAUUAUUUAAUUCAAAAUUGUUUUUUGUCAAAUUAUUAUUUUCAGUAACAUAGCUCAUAAUGAAGAUUAGAUGGAUUACACAUGUGCAUAUCCCUGGAACUAUUAUCGAAUUAAAAAUAGGAUUAUUUAAAAGUUCGCAUAUAUUUAUGAUGUAAAGUUGUGCCUACAGUUGAAGGGGCCGUCAUAUAUAUAUAUAUAUAUAUAGAGAGAGACCGGCUGGGAUACUAUCGAUAGCACCAAGAGUUUGGUGCUAUCGAGUUUUUUACCGUUAGAUUUAACCUUGAUUAGUUUUAUCCGUUAGAUUGUACUAUUCAACCAACCACCCGCUCAACCCUAGGGGGGCCACAUCAUCCUAACCGCAUAUUUUUCAAUCCAAGGAAUAAAAAAUUAAUAGCAUCAAUGGCUUGGUACUAUUAAGGGCCCGUUUGGUUCGAGUUAUGUAAUAUUACAAAGUAUCUCGACAUAUCCAGGUAUUUUAGAUUUCGGCGUGAGAUUACUACUGAUGCUGUAUUAGCGCGUUUGGUUUAAUGCAGUAAUGUAAUACUAGAUUACAGUGUUUAUAGCAUUAAUACUUUUGGUUCAGUUUAUAAAAUUUAGUAAUCCUGACAUAAAAGUAUAGUUUUUCCAAAAUUGCCCUUGUUGUGGUCAUUUGAAUAUUAUUUUUUGCGAAAAUGACGAAUGGAGGGAAAGAGAUCGUGAUGAUUACCUGGGAGGACGACGCAAUAGAAAAUGAUAGGUGUUCGUGCGAGAGAGAGAAAGAGAGAGAGAUAGAGAGACAUCGAGAGGGAGAGAAAGCGGCGUGCGAAAGAGAGGGGGAAGGCGAGAGAGAGAUGAAAAUAAUAUUGUUAAUUAGAUUUGGGGUUGUUGGAGGGUAAAAUUGCCAUUUUAAAUAAUAUAUAGUAUUAACGGGUUUCAGUAAUGCAAGAUACACGACCCCCCUCCCGUUAAUAUUUUCGAUGUAAUCCUGCUCGAUUUGUAAUGCUACAUUAACGACUAGAUUACAUAGCGGAUUAACCAAACACAGUUAUCCUGGCAGGAUUGCCUGUAAUCCUGCCAGGAUAACUCGAACCAAACGCACCCUAAAGCAAAAACCACGGCCGCCAACUCCAAGUCGUGGGUUGGAUAGUUUCUUUCAUAUUCCUUCAAUUGGCGAGAAGCAUACGCAAUCACUUUCCCGUCCUGCAUCAAAACACAGCCCAAUCUAUUAAAGGAAGCAUCACUAUAAAUCACAUACCCUGCUCCAGCAGUCGGCAAGGUAAGAAUCGGGGCGGUCGCCAACCUCUGCUUCAACUCUUGGAAGCUCAUUUCACACGCGUCAUUCCAAAUGAACUUAACACCUUUAUGCGUGAGCCUCGUGAGGNAGCCUCUAUAUAUAUAUAUACACACACACACUAACAUUUAAACUAUAAAUAAAAAUUCCCAUACACUUAUGAUUUAAACUUGUGCCUAUAAUUGAAGGGGUCGUCGUACACACACACACUAACAUUUAAACUAUAAAAAUGAUAUUUUAGGAAACAUAGUAUUACUCUCCGAACAGAUUUAAAGAUAAAUGUGUACGAACAAUGCUACUUUUAUGCAUAUUUAUUUAUAGGGUGUGAAUUAAUUAGUAUUUUUUAUUGUGUGUAGAUGCAAACACAAUCAAUUAAAGAUCCCCACCUCCUAUUUGAGUCAAAAGUUUAUAAUUAAUCCUUUGGAAAGCUUUGUGGAUCUUCAAUUGUGAUUAAAGGAAGAGAGAGGAGGGAAAAGAAAGAAAAGAUAUCAUGGUCACUCCGAGGGCAUUAAUUGCGUUACCAGAUAUACGUAAGCAAUCUCGUUUUACAGGAUUUAAUGUACAAAAGCCACAAAAGUCUUUCUCUACCCUAUCUCCAAAAGAGGAGUGCUAGGGCUACAAUUUAUUAUGAGUUGUAAUCACAGAAUUUCUUUUUUUUUUUUUCUCUACUUACAUAUUAUUUUUAAAAUAAAAUUUAAAAUGGGUCAGUAAAUUCUACACCCCUUAGAUAAGGGAGAUUCUAUUUUUCUAAAGAAAAAAUUCAACGACUAUAUAUGGAUCAAGUUAGAUAAAGAAUACAAAAACGACCAAUUUCGUUUAUUUUUUUAGAAAUAAAUAUUACUUAAUUGAAAAUGUAAAACAAUAAGAUUUUGAAGUUCCAAUUUCAAGUAAUAAUUAUCAAACUCUUUAUGACUUGCGCUGGAAACAGUCAUCGACAAAUUUACAAUAUUAAAUAAUAUAAGGGAUUAUCAAUACACCUGACAUCAAGAGUUAGAGUCUCUUUAUCCAAGUAGUUAUCCCAACUUGCCAAAAUAAAAAUCUUACUCACCAUCAGGCCAAAGUUCAUACUCCUCAUCUUAUUUGUUGAAUCUCACACCACAAUAUAUGGUUAAGAGUUGUUCAACAUUUAUAGCUGAUGUGGUCCUUUAAAUUGGCUUGAGAUCGACUUAGCUUUAGUUGAGACUUAUCUAUAUAUAUAUAUAUAUAUAUACAAGAUGAGCUUAUGAACCAACCCAAGUGGGUGGGUUGGAUUCAUUAUCUCAAAGAGUGAUUUUAAGUUCCUCCUUUAACCCAACAUCUUUAUUGCAUCGAGCCGAUUGAGGUCAACAACAAUCCCAUCCAUUCAUAGCAAAGCCAAAAAAGUUGACUAAGGCACACAAAUAAUGUUCAUUCCCACAACCUCAAUCACAUCUUAGAUUUCGAUAUGUAAAGAGGGUCACCACUAAUUAAUUUGUGGUUCUCCAAUCUAUUAUUUAUACUCUAAAACAUAAAAUAGUUUUGGAGUAUUAGAAAUGAAUUUGAAUUUGAAUUAGAAAUUAGCUAGUUCAAAUGAUAUGAGCUAGAAUUCUACUUAAGAUGGGGCUAAAUUAAUUUUUGUUAUUAUCUUUUUAUGAACCAGGAGCUUAGCCUCCAACGUCUGAGUCUCCCCCCCGGAAAUUGAAUUCGAAACCUCACCCUUCUCUCUUCGCGCCUUAAUCACAGAAAAUCGAUCGCUUGUUGAGAGUUUUCUCCCAAAUAAGUCAGCUCCGCGUAAUUGUACUUUUGCUAGUUUGCUCUGGGAGUCGAAAGGGGAUCGCUCAGAGGAAAGGAGUUAGCGACAAUCACCACAACGUGGUUAGUCAUUUAGUUAAUUGGAGCGUAAUAGAAGAAUCUUGCAAAAAACCAAACGUACGUGACGAGUUUAUUAGGGUCUGAGAUUCGCUCGCUUAGGAACAAUUGGAAUCUUUUUUGCUAUAUAUAUAUAUAUAUUAUUUUUAUUUAUCCCAAGGUCCAGUUGCUUUAUUUUGUAGCCCAAUUCAUACUCUAAAUGAAUGAAUCGGUAGCAUGCUACCUUUCUCUCUCUAAAAAAAAAAGUCUAACAAUAUGAACAUACUAAAUUAUUGAGAUUAUAUUCGGAACAAUUGUAGAUAUUUAAAUUAGAUCAUUCAUCAUGUACAUAGAAUUAGUUAGCUAUGUAUUAAUAAAUGUAAAUUUAUUCCAUGUCUUUAAAACUAGGCAUAAAAUUUCUACUAUACUAUAUUUUUAUAUUAGAAAUACUAGAUUCGACAACAUAACUAAUUACCAUCUAUGUUUCUCUCUAAAAGUUGUACAAACCUCAUCAUGCAUUGCCUUUCACACUAGAUAGUGCUCGAUCUUGAGUUAGGUUGCAUCCUUAUAAACUCCUCUUUAUCCUACAAAUAUUAGACAACAUAACUAAUUACCAUCAAGUGCGUCUCUACAAAAAGCCAUACAACUGAUCUCCUUCUAUCUUGCAUAACAUUUUAGUGAUAUAUGUUAGAAUUAAAAGUGAGAAGAUCUAGUCCGUCGGGUGAGAAAAUAUCAAAAAAGAUUUGAAAAAGAGAAAAAAAAAUAAAGCACAUAAUAUUUACGUGGUUCGGCCAUCGGCCUACGUCUACGGGCAAAUACGGAGCAGAGAUCUUCAUUAUAAUGAAAGUGGUAUACAAAAUAUGCCUCUCUCACGAAACCCUAAUCCCAAAGAAUUAAUAUACCCAUAUUUUCUCUCUCAUUUUCCGCACCAAAUCAAUAGCAUAUUUUCUCUCUCAUUUUCCGCACCAAAUCAAUAGCAGAAAGGGUAUACUUAUAAUAGUGGCUAAAUCCUAACACAAUUAGAAAUACAAACACACUAAGAUUAUGAAUAUCUCAAUAAGAUUAGGCAUAAUAUAAACUUAACUUAAUGGGAUAAUCAAAACAGAAUAGAGUUAGAAAACCUUGCGCUACUAGAAUUCGAGACAUAUCUAACAAUAUAUAACUCAUCAUUCCUAGUGCAUAUGUUAAAGAACUUGAUGGUUGAUAUCCAAUGUUUUAAGUUCAGAACUUUGUUGCUUUAUAUUUUCAAUUAAAUUUAUUUUUAAAAAAAUUAAAUGAAUCAAUGAGCAUGUGCUAAAUUUCUCGCUAAAAAAAAUAAUUAGAAAAAAACUUUUUAGUGGUGGUACGUAGUGUUCUUAAGAUAGGGUGCACACUCCAUCACUAUCCAUCACCUUCACACACCCCACAAUUAAAAAGAACCACCCCUCCCACACACAGCAUGCAGAGAACAACACACUCAUCCAUGCCCACUUCCAUAACAACUCACUGCCGCGACAGCUCCGACGACGAGCUCGAUGUCUUCGAGGCAGCACGCUACUUCUCUGGCGGGUUCGAUGGUCUCAUUACCGGUCGACUCAGUUUCCAAAGAACGUUGAGGCAAGAGCUCUUGUUCAAGGGAGACAGAAGGAGCUUAGACAUGCCCAUGAAGAAGCCUAAGACACCAAGUUCUCAGGAGCCAUGCAAGAUGGAAAGGAAUUAUAAUGAGAUAAAGAGUAAGCAACCCAGCUCCCCAGGUGGCAGCAGGUUGGCUAGCUUUUUGAUCUCUUUGUUUCAUCAAAGAAGCUCCAAGAAGAAAACAACCAAGUCCCCGGUCACCACCACUCAAUCUAUGAAGGAUGGGAACCUCGCAAUGAUCAAGCAUGGGCAAGAGAGGAGGAGGAGGAAGAGCACUAGCUACUCCCAAAACAUUAGUGGUGAUCAUAACAGUUACUCCAAGUCCAUGCACUACUCCUCUAAGAGUAGUAGUGGAUUUAGGACCCCUCCACCUUUACCAUGCAUGCCAAAAGAGAAGGUAACCACUUCUUCUUUGGGAGGUAGAGUUCAUGGAAGUGGUGAUCAUCAUGAUCAUAGUCAUAAUGGAAAGAGUAGUGUCAGGGAGGAGGGUUUUAUGAUGAAAAAUGUGGGAUUUGGGAGGAGAGAGAAGGAAGAAGAAGCAGGAGAAGGGAGUAGUGAUUCAAGCUCUGAUCUCUUCGAGUUGAAGAACUAUGGCAUGGAGGAUUUCUCAAGCGGCGAUUUUCCUGUUUAUGGCGCAACUAAUGCAGGGAUCAUCAGUAGUAAUUAGGGAUCUACAGUUCCAAGUGUUGCUUUCUAAUUAAUGUAAUUGUUUAUAUGUUUGUCAUAUAGCUCGAUUAGAAAAGUACUUGUCAAUUUGCUGGUUUGAACAAAUUAAUGGCUCUUAAUCUUAAUUAAUUAAUCUUGUCUUCAAGUUCAUCUAAACUCGCAUCUUCAAGUUCAUCUAAACUCGCAUGAGCUUAUUAUUCUUUGAGUUCUCUCUCUCUCUCUCUCUCUCUCUCUCUCUCUCUCUCUCUCUCUUUGCCAUUUUAGCUAAUGUUGGUCUCCUUAUACAUUCUACUUGAUCUUCAGUACUUAAUGCACGGAUUUACACUCAAUACUAUAUAUAUAACGGUAAAAAACUCGAUAGCACCAAAUCCUUGAUGCUAUCGAUAGUAUCCUAGCCGGACUCUAUAUAUAUAUAUAUAUAAAAGUAUAUAUAUAAAAGAAACACGAGCUGAUUGGCACAUUUUUAUUUUCUGUGAUCUUAAUGCACUAAAUUGUAGGGUUGAUAUAAGCAACUAAGCAAACAAUUUAGAAGUUAUAAGCAAUUAAGUAAACAAUUUAGAAGUAAGGUUGUCUCAAUUGGACGUAUGUGGGGACAAUUCGCCAAAUUAUCUACUUGAGAAUGUAGGAUCUAUUGUCGGGCCUUGGAUUCCAUAUCUCCAGAUAAUUUAGUAAGUUAAUUGAAACUUUUCUUCUUUCAACUAUUAGCAGAUCCCAAUUUUUUUUAAAACUAGUUAACUAAAAAGCCCAAAACAUGCACAAAAAAUUUACAACAAUUUUUUUUAAUUUUUUUUGAUAAAUUUUUAACCUUACUCUAACCAUUUUAGCAAUAAAGUUGCAAUAUUGAAUAGUAAAAACCCAAUAAGGGUUGCCUAAAUCUUAGAAUAGAAAAUAUUUUAUUUGUUAAGUUACUAUGUUUUUUUUUUAAAAAAAAUUUACUAAAAACCCAAUAAGGUUGCCUAAACCCUAAAAUGAGAAAUAUUUUAUUUUCUGAGUUAAUAUUUUAUUUUUAUUUUUUUAUAUGAGUUAUUACUUUUGAGUUAACAUGUCUAAAAUAUAUUUCAAAUUCGUUAAUAGUUGAAAGAAAGUAAAUUUCAACUAUUUUACAAAGUUGUCUGGCGAUGUGAGAUCCAACGCCUACGUGAUAAUAGAUUCCACAUUCUCAAAUGAAUGAUUUGGAUGGAAAAUUUUCCUCGCACAAUCAACCCUCUCUCUAUUAUGUAAACUGAUUUAACCAUUUUAAUUUAGUACUUUAUAUGGCAUAGAAAUAUGGGUGAAUUCAAGGAAAAUUAAGGACCCGCUCAAUUUUCUCAGCAGUAUAUAUCUCUACAAUCACUUCCAUCAAAAGUAUAUAUCUUUUAUCUCCCAUACACGGUACACCCUUUUGCUGCGGUACUGCAAUUUGGUCCACCACUGUAAAAACGAACCUGUCAAAAGGCUCAUUCAAUUUUACAGUGCGAUGGCAAAGGGCUUGGUGGUUGGUACCCAAAAUCCAAGUUCGAAUUCUAGUUGAUUCACAUUUCCAGCUAAUUAAGUUUAUUUCUAAAUAAAAUAAACGAAGCGGGUAGCAUGCUACCUAUCUCUCAAAAAAAAAAAAAUUUACAGUGCGAUGUGGCCCCACCAUCAUAUAUAUUUUACUGUGGGUUGUAGUGUUGUACCAGUACUGUAAGAUCAGUGUGUGUUGAAUAAUAUAAUUUGUAGUUUUUUAAUAUCAAACUCCCUCUCAUGCAUACUGGGGCUUAAAUCUUUUAAUAGGUUUCAGAUAUAAACUUGAACUAAAAUAAAAAUAAAUUAAGUAACAGAAGUAGAAUAUAGCUAAGAGAGGAACUCAAAAUUUACUGCUAUGAUACCAUGUAAAAUUUUGGGAGAGCUUAAUCACUUCAUUAAAAACAUCAAGUUUAUUUGGACAUAUGUAAGAGUUGACUUCUGAAUGUACGUUCUUAAAUACGCUACCAUUAUUUUAUCCAAAAAUACUGUGAUACGAAAAGUAUAUGAGAAAUGCAUGCAUGCAAUCAAGCGCAAGUAAGUUGCACUCAAUUUGGCUAAAUUGGUGCGCAUGAUUGGUGCAGUCAAUCACAACAAAUAAAUAAUUUAUUAAUCAUCGCUAGACUUGUCAAUCUCUAUCUAUACCCACAGAUUACCCACAAAUAUACAGUUAUAGAUAUUAGUUUUUUUAUCCAAAAAAUUAUAGAUAAAACUGGUGAGUAUCCGUUAAAUGGUAGACAUUUUGGACAACCGACCGCGAGUCCCACAUAUACCCGCAAAUAUAUUUUUUAAUUAAAAAAUAUAUAAUCUUUAUAAUAUUGACUUUCUAAUAAUAAAAAUUUUAUUAAUUUUGUAUAUAAAAAUUUGGGAUGAUAAAAUAUUUUUUAAUUAUACAAUUUAUGCGCUUUAAGAUUUUGUAUUGUUUAUUGUAUAUUAUGAUAUUUCAAACAAGAAGUUAUAUUAUACUUUUAAAAAUUUUAUAUAUGUAUUUUGUAGUUGAAAUGUAUUGGAGUUAAAAAUAAGAUAAAAUCUUGCGGGUAACCCGCAUACCCAUCUGCCUGUUUGUUGGCGGAUAUGAAUAAAGAUGUUGACUACUCAAAAAUUUAUUUUAUCCAUACUCAUAUAUAAUUCAUAGAUACAAUAAUCCAUCCGUGAAUUACCCAACUCAUCCAUUUUCCAGUUCUAAUCAUGGCAAUUGAUGAAGGGCUAAUAGAGGUGUAUAUUUGUAUUUUAUACAUCCGGCCCGGUCCGAUUCUUUUAAGACUAAUUAGGGUCGUGUCAAAAUAGGCUUGGUCCAGAUCCAAGUGAUGAUCCUAACCUUGUGGAUCAAUUAAUUAAGGACAAGUCCAAAUCGAAUACACAUGUAUACAUGAAUACCAGCUAUAGUGACCAACCAUGUCCCCCCAUCUCUCGAGCAUAUUCCAAGGUACGUUUUCUCUUUUUUACUGGGGAAUUUGAUACGUUAAAUUUUGCUUCUAAAACCCUGAAAAGGCAUAUAAUUGCUUUGUUAGAUCUAAAUUCUGUUCUUAAUUUCAACUCUAUUGUUACCUAAAAUGUUCGACUGUGAUAUAAAUAAUAUUAUUUUUAGAAACCUACCUACUAACGUGAUCUCAGCUGCUCAGCGUAUUGGAGUGCAGGCGAAGGAGUGGGCUAAUUUUUGUAGAGCCGGAUGACGGCGGUGUUUGCUAUACAUUUUGUUUUGACGCUUGUUUCUGCUUCUACUUUGAUUUUUCUUUUAAGUUCUUUUUUUCUUUGAUUUUUUGCCUUUUUUGAGGCUUUAACUGUCUUACUUUAUAUAGCUAAAUUUAUUUAUUUAAUGAAUAAAACAUGUAGCGUGCUAUCUUUUCUGAAAAAAAAAGUUCAACUGUGUAACUUAUUUGUAUGUAACGUAAUAAAAGGGCAUGUUAAUUAGUUGAAUCCAUAGGAAAAGAACUAAUGGUUUAGUAACCCGUUCUCUUCUACAUUUAAAAUUUUAAACCCUUGAUAUUUAAUACUUGAUCUCUGAUUUUUGCAUGCAGCUUAAUUCUAGCUGUAUUGAAUUUAUCAGGACUACUGAUGUCUUUGUUAGCUACCUAUAUAUAUAUAGCGUGUAAUUUUGAUUAUUCUAUUGAUUCUUCAGCAAUGCAUGUAAUCAUCAGUGAUUAAUUGCUUCAUGUUUGAUUUGCCUGUUUUGUGAAUAAUUUCUGCAUAUAUAUAAAAUUGGGUUUCUGGUUUGGUUACUCCAAUGUAAUAGUUAAAUUUGAAAAGAUCUUGCAGAAUUUUUGUAACGGCGGGUACAAUUAGGGGUUCAAUUAUUGCUACGGCCUACUCAGCCCCAACAAUUAUAAUUUAUACUUAUUUACAUAUAACUUCUAUUACAUUCAAUGAAACAUAUAGGCGAUGCCCUAUACGUUCCUUUCAAAAAAAGAGAUUUUUUGUAGGUUUUUGCGUCUAGCUACUGGAACACCUCCUGAUUCAUUCUCCAACCUACCAAAAUUCUACAAACUAGAGAGACACAAUUGUGAUUUGUGAGAGAAUCGGACAAAUAUUAAUUCCUUAGCCUCUUAAAAAUCUCCACAGGAUGGCAACUCUGAACAUGACAUAUAUAUACAUUCAAUUAACAUGGAAUGAAGUUACAAAAAGAAAUUCAAAAUCAAUAUGACAAGAAUCUAGCUAAUCAGAACGUAACACGACAUGACAUGAUAUGACAAAAAUGAGACACCAGUUAAUUUUUGAGCAUGCGUUUGAGAUACUAUUAAAUUAAGUUCGACUUUUGCGUAUCUUUAUAUAGGCAUGAUCACUAAGGUAAUUGCUGAACACGAACGCAACUUACGAAACUGAAAUGCUAAUAACUUGGGAUGUUCUCUCCAAAUGCUAGUGACUCCGAGUGCAUGCGCGCACAAUAUAUACAUUUUUGUUGUGUAUGGGAGUUCAUGCAAGCUUUUGAGUUUGUCUAAAUGCGGUAUUACUCAAAUGAAAGAUGCAUACAUACUUGACAACAUGAAAUUAUAAAAUAUAAAUAUAGUGUAUCGGCCAGGUUCAUAUUUUAGAAGGGGAUCUAAAAUCCCACCGACAAGCAAAAUUCAAUAAGUUCACAGAUGGUAAAAGCUUGAUAUGUCGAUGUCGCAAACUAAUCCUUACGCUCCAUUGGCUUGAAAACAUCGAAGCUGUUAAUGGGGAGACCGUUACUUCUUUCCUGCAGAAACAAAUCCAAAACCAUACAUCAUCUCCUCCCCAGAGAUACUCCUUUGUUCUAUAUAUAGAAGAAAUAUUUUAUGACUAACUUAGAAGGGUAUGAUGGUGAAUAUAUAGUUGUUCUAAAUGUUAAACUUAACACAAUUUGGUCUCUUAUCUUUCUCUUAACAAGAUUAGUCCCCUAACUUAUGUAAUCUCUGGCAAUGUUGUUCCUAUAUAUAUUAUGCUUCAGGGUUUAUUACACUCUUUUGCUCGUAGCAUGCGUUAGAGUAUUUUAAAUGAAAAUAAACAUAGGGAUGACAUUACAAAAGCUUAGGUAAAUUCAGGCUAAUGUGUUUAAAUGAAAGAUUAGGGAACAAAAUGCCAUCUCUUGGUAGUUUAGGUUAUAUUUUAUCAAAUUCAAAAUUAAUACUUACAUGCGAAAAGGACAUUGCUCUUACCGCUACAUUGUUCUCAGAGGUUGAAACAGUUGAGCAGCGAGGAUCACACUUAGCCCACUACAAUUAAUGGAUCCAAAUCAACAGAAACAUGGAAUAAAAUUUCACAAAGAAAAUUGGUUACUUAUAAGAUUAAUUCAGUACAACAAAUCUGAAAAUCAAAGUUCAUGGAGUAUUGGCUUACAUUUUUUGCAGCCAUGCUAAAGGCCUCUCUGUGAGGGAUAUCAGGUUUCACAGCUUUGAUUCGCUGUAUUUCUUCCCUGUCAUGCAUUUUUGAUUAUCUUAAUUUGAAGGGACCUUGCAGGCUAAACAAUUUACGAACUGGCAAGUAAAAUGACUUCCUACUUAUCAGUCAAGUCUCUUUUUUUUGACAUGACUAACGGUUAUCGAAGAAAACUGAUAGACAGAUCAGACCCAUGAAAAGGUAAAUAGUGCAAUUAUAUAUGUGGCUCUUUCCUCUUUAUUUUUUAUAAUUCCGUGUACGAUUUGCGAAUGCUCAGAGAGGUUUGGCAUGCAUAUUUUCUCUCUUUUUGAAUCAUAUAUAAGACGAGAGAUUAAGAACAUUUGCAUAUGAUUAGGUUGUAAAUACAUUUGAAUUUGGAUCAAUAAAAUAUAUUAUGAUGAAACAUAAGUUAACUAUUGUAUACCUGUAUAUAAAACUGAAAUAACAACGUGCUGGCUACAUUACGAAUUCCUAUUAAAUUUAUGCUGAUAUUAGAUCAUUUACAUUGCUUUAGCCUAUUGUUUUGAUAUGUCUAAUUCAAAAUUUAUUGGUCAGCUGAACCCCAAUCCACUUAACAAAAGAGAAAAAGAACCAUAAUUAAUACAUGUAGAAAAUUAAAACAGUAGAUCAAAUUAUAUGCAAACUUAUGGGGAAAAAUUGCAUAAUUAAUUGUAAAGAGCAUACAAUGUAAACAUUAGUGAUGAUUGAGAAUCCUUAUCAUAUAUAUAGAGACCUUAGGAGUUAAAUUACAUUCUUUAUAAUCCAGUAGAUUGAACCCCUUUCCUUGUUACCCCACCUGUUGCCUCUCAAUCUCUCGUAUUCAUCAUGCACAUGGAAGAAGAAUAUUCAUUCUUCCUGGAUCUUUUUUUUUUUUUAUCAAAUUAAUCCCUUCAUCAGUAAGUAUGUAGGUAUAUUUAUAUGUAACGUACUGCAUUGGUAGGUAUAUAUACAGUCAUAUAUAAUUAUAUAUUAUCAUUAGCAAUAUAUAUCACAAGGUUUGCACUUCUCUAUUCCUGCAAAAGUGUAAAGAAAUUGUGCAAUUCAACCAAAUGAUUUAGAUUUUCUUGCGCAUCCAUCCCUUGCGAAGUAUAAACAUAUGAUAUUUAGUAUUUAUAGUUAGAAAGAAGAUGUGAUAUUAUGUAGCUAUAGAAGUUCAAUUCAUGGAGACUGAACUGGUCAAUUUAUUGUUAUCGAGCUAUUGACGAUUUGUUUCAUUUGGCAUGUUUGGCAGUAAAUCUGUUUCCAUGUAAUCUGCUUUUGUGUAUGUAAGAUACAAAUCUGUAGUUUAGCGAGCCUCCUUAUAUGAUUAUAUAUUUUUAUCUUAACAGUUUAAUGAGCCUUCUUACAGACCGACACGAUAACAGUAUACUGCGACAACUUAGGAUGAGCUCUUGUCAAACAAUAGAUCUCAUGGCACAUAUUGCUGUAAAAGAAUUUCUUAUGCCAGAAAAAAGAAGCACAAGCCUUACUUCAUAAAGCGAUUGUAAGCUGACGGAAGUCGAUGUUUCUUUUCAGGAGCUGCCACCAAGAAAUAAACCAAAAUAGAAAGAGGAAAUUAAAGAGAAUUAAUUUGGGGAAGCAAAAACAGGAAAUUAUUAAGGUUAUAUAUAUGUUCCCGACAUACGUUUAACAACAAAUGGUGCUUUGGUGGUUGUCUGUUCGCUUGACAUCGAUGAGUUAGACGGCGAAGGUUGCAAUCUCCUACAAUCGUUGCAGGGACCCUAAUUCAAAGAAAUUAAAGAGUCAUUUAAUUUUCCUCAGUAUAUUGCCAGCUAUAUAAUAUUCAAAGAAAACAUAGAAGCUAUAAAUUUUCCUCAUUAUAUUGUCAGCUAUAUACAUAAUCAUUUCCAAUCAAUAGCUUAUGUUUCAGUAAACAUAGCCAUUUAAUUUUUUUUUUCUUUGCAAAAAUAUUCAAAGAAAACAAAAAAUGAAUAUAUACAUGUACACAUAUAUCUAUGAGCAUUUUUGGACUAUUAAUAUUAUAUCGAUAUUCUUAACAUAAAAAAAAGGGACGAAAAAAACAGUUUGCACUAAUAAUAGGUAAGAAAAUUAAUUCGGCAAAAGUGGGAAAUAGCUGAACCUGAAAACACAUUUGUUGAUGAUCAGUAGGGCAAACGGGUUGCACCAUAGGCCUUGGGCUAAGGAAGGAGAGAUUGUUGCAGUGUCCACAUUUCACAGUAACAGUGUCCAUUAUCCUCUUGCAUGGAACCCCAACCUGAAAACCAAAUCCAUCACACCACAUGGGAUUAUUAAAAACAUAAAAAGCAAGAUACUCUUUGCAUGCACCCUCCCCCUAUAAAUUUAUAAUAUAUAUUAUUCUCAUGCAUUUUAAUUUUUACUUUCUGGUAGUUGUAGAUCAACCCUAGGGCACUUAGCCGUAUAGGGGACACUUCUUUUAAUGGGGAAAAUAUAUGAACUACUCUGAGGACAAGCCACUACAGUCGCACGUAAUCUUCUUUCAUAAUUAACUUUAGGUUUGAGAGGUCCAAUCCAAAGAAAUUAAGUAUAGAGUCUAAGGCAUUGGUCGAAGGGGGUAUAAUUUAAUUAAUUCCAAGUCCACAAAGCUAGCUAGCUAGAUAAAUAUGUUACAAGGUUGAAAGAUGCCCUUUUUUUUUUAAUGCAAUACUGUACAACCCUGUUGCAUUAAAAAAAAAAAGAAGAAAAAAAGCUAGUUAGAUAAAUAUGUUAAAAGGUUAAAAGUAAAGUGAUCGCUUGACCAGAAGAAACUAGAGUUGAUCAGAGAGAGAGAGAGAGAGAGAGAGAGAGAGAGAGAGAUGAUAUCAAAUGCAUGCAUAAAGAUCUGCAUAGAGAGAAAGAAAUGUUGGGUAAAAAUGAUCCAGCAAUCACAAACACGAGUGGAUCGAUCUCUUUCUGAGUAUUCUCGAAGAGAUCAUUACCGCGAGAACGGUGUUACAGUAGGUGCAACGAACGUAGCAAAGGUGCUCCGAGGGAGAAACCAAGUCCAUGAUCGAUGAGGAGAAGUAAAAGAAGAUGAGGAUGAGGAUGAGGAUGAGGAAGAAGAAGAGAGGAGAGAAAAGCUAGCUAGUGAAUUAAGAAGGGAGAGAGUGGGUGGGGGAGCUUCUUAAAGAUUCCAAGAGAAAUAGACGCCAUGGGUAGGGUUUCCAUUACAGCAAUAAUGCCCAGGGAGGGAUGCCCCACAGCAAGGGUUGUACGGACGAGCCAACACCCCAGCUAGCUAUAGCUACACAUCAUUAUAAAGUAUACGGCCUAAGCCACUACUACUACUUGGUUUCUCGCGCGAUAUGUAAAAUGUAUACAACUUUAAAAAGGAGUGGAAUUAAUCUCAGUGGAAUUAAGAACUACUACGGGACUUAGUUUGAUCCUGUGGAUCAGAGCUCAAUUGCGGACCUUUUUAGUCAUUAAUUGGUAGUGCAAUCUCCUCUUCUUUACAUGGUCACUAUUUAAUUAGAAAUCACUUUAUGCGUUUAUAUAUAUAUAUAUAUAUAUAUAUAUAUAUAUAUAUAUAUAAGGGUUCGAGGCCACCUUCUACGUUCUAAUUAUGAUGUGACGUACGUACUUAUGUCAUGCAAAUAGUGUUUAUAAGUGAUGAAGUAUAAAGGAUUAGCUUUUAAUUAAGGCUUGAAGGAAAUAUUAGACAUAAAUACUGAACCGUUUAUGUAGAUCAGAAAAAUAUUACAAGUGUUGGUAUUUGAUCCAUCAAAUAAUUAAGAAAAUAUGUGUUUGAAAUAGUAUGAAUUAUUUGGUAUGUCUAUAAAGUGUAUUUUAAUCGUUUCAGCAAAAAAGAAAAAAAAGAAAAGAGCUUUUCAGUGCUAUAGAAGAAUAUGAGAAUGAAGGUAAGUAUUCACGUUUGUAUGCGAAUAAUUGGGAAAUCGUUGACGAAUUUAUUAAGAGAAAUGCUGAUGUAAAAUUCCUAUAAUCUGCUGGUGUGUUCGACUGCGUCUUCUCUCUCUUAUUAGAUUAUCUUAAGAUUUAUUGAGAACUUAUGAAGUUGAGUAUGUGGACUCUUAUCUUAUUCUCUUUUUUAGGAUAGGAAGGACAUAAUCUUUUUUCUGUUUUGUUUGAUGUGAUUAUUAACUUCGAUUUUGUGUCUCUGAUUCAUUGACAACUUGGUGGUGCAACAAAUUUGGAAAAAAAAUUUGUAAAGAAAAGAAUUGAUGUCUGUGGUGCAAGAGGUGAAGCACCCUAUGGGACAAAUCGGACCCAAUAAUGAAGAAAUCCGUUAAUAAAUUUUCUUCUUUUUUUUUUUUUAGAUGCGAUACGGCGUAAUUGUACUUCCACAAACAUUAUACUCCCUUUUUUGUUGUAAAAUUCUCUCCUCCUUCGCCUAUAUUUUUUUUUUUUUUCCCUACAAAGGGUUUUUCCACGUAAAUCCUUAUGCCCCAUUUUAGAUUACUAUUUUUUGUGGUUUGUCUACUUUCAGAUCGUCAUUUUUCGUUUUUGUUUGUGCGCUCGCUUCGUUGUAACAGUUUUGACGGUUGUUCUUGUAGUAUUUCUAUUAUGUUUUGUAACCUACUUUCUUUCCAUGCAUAAUAAGGAAUCCUCCUAUGUUUUAAUUUCAAAAAAAAAAAGAAGCAUGAAUCUUUCCUGUUCUUAUAUUGAUAGAAAGCUUGUGUACUAGAACCUCCUCUUUUAACUCGCAUGAAGCCAACCUCACAUUUUCUAAAGGUCGCAUGCAAAUUAAUGUGCCAUUUUGUUGUGGCAUGAAGAAAGUCUCGCUAGUAGUUCAUUCACACCGUGUGAUGGUUGUUUGUCUGACCAGCUGAUGUUUGAAGUUAGGUCAGAUUCACAAUAUGAAAGAAUCUACUUAGCCAAAUGCAUGUUAAGUGAAUAAUAUAUAUAUAUAUAUAUAUAUAUAUAUAGAGAGAGAGAGAGAGAGAGAGAGAGAGAGAGCUUCAUUUAUUAUUUUAGAAAUAAACUCAACUAAAAAUGUGAUGCAACUAAGAUUCAAACUUGGAACCUCGAUCGAAUACCAAUCAUCAAGCCUUUAGCCAAUUCACUGAGUAUGGUUGGUGAAUAAUAUUAUGGGGCAAUAAUGAGAAGUUCUUGAUAUCUGAGUUUGGCAUGCAGUUUGAAUGGUUUGGAGUGUGCCAAAGCUAGCAAAUAUUAGUAGGCUACAAAUAGAGACAAUUAUCAUUAAUAGAUUGGACAUGGCUUAUAAAUUACUUGAUUUUGGUGUGCCAAAGCUAGCAAAUGUUAGUAGGCUGCAAAUAGAGACAAUUAUCAUUAAUAGAUUGGACAUGGCUUAUAAAUUACUUGAUUUUGGUCUCUUCGUUAGUAGUAUGCGGAGAAAAAACUAACCAAACUUAUUAUGUCAUGCUUAAUUAAAAAAAUUUAAUCAAGUAUCACAAGGGUCAGCCACUAAAAAUAUGUACAGUAAUCUAUUGAAGCUUGAUUAAAAAAAAAAAAAAAACUUAAUUUUAAAUCUGUGUGGCUUUGGCAAAUCUUUUUUUUUUUUGAGAGAGAUAGGAAGCACGCUAUCCGCUUCGUUUAUUUCAUUUAAAAAUAAGCUUAGCUGAAAAUAUGAAUCAACUAGGAUUCAAACUUGGAACCUCGGGUAUCAACCACAUCAAGACUUUUGCCACUUGCUCUAGGGACGGUCGGUGGCUUUGG
Molecule: long non-coding RNA, 51701 nt
Filed under: Ananas comosus (pineapple)
Lineage: Eukaryota; Viridiplantae; Streptophyta; Magnoliopsida; Poales; Bromeliaceae
Description: long non-coding RNA (ACOM_LNC022899)
Rfam family: tRNA (bases 33197-33270)
Source: RNAcentral